RNAcentral lists this long non-coding RNA (71099 nucleotides) under Medicago truncatula (barrel medic). RNAcentral describes it as "long non-coding RNA (MTRU_LNC007540)". The record is from RNAcentral. Lineage: Eukaryota; Viridiplantae; Streptophyta; Magnoliopsida; Fabales; Fabaceae.
AACACACCACCGCCUUCUACCACAGACACCGCCGUUGUACCCUUUUUCUAUUCACCUUCAAAUCAAUACUAGUGUUUUCACGAUGUAGCCUUCACGCCUUCACUAGUGGUGGUGCAACGAGAUCCAUUUCUCCGCACCAUCGUUUCCACCUCUCCGCAUCUCUUUUCGGAUCCGUCGCAUCGCCGCCGUUAUUAGAUGCAUUUGGAUCCAGUUUGCGAUGUUGUUAUGUGUUUUUGGUUUCUGUUGGUGGGGUUGCUUUUGUUCCUUCGUUCUCUCCUUUGUUUUCGUACAGUGUUGUGCCACCGAGACCAGCUCCUCAGUGUUUAACCCUCCUCUGUCGUUCUCGCCGGCGACUUUACAAGGGACGUGGUGGGUUGUCUUUCGGUUUCUUGACAUGUUAAUCUGAGUUUUUGCUUAGAUCCGGAGCUAUUUUGGUUCUUUUUCGCUUCAUCUCAUUGGGUUUUUGGUGUUGUUAAUUGUUGGGAGUUUGAUGUUCCGGAGCUCCGUCAAUGCUAUGUUGUUGUUGUUUAUGUUUGUGUGUUUUUAUUCUACUGUUUGUUAUUUUUUUGUUGCUUUGGAUUGGGAGUCUUUAGAUUGUGGUUGUUUUCUUGUCUGUUUGGUGGUUCGUUUUGCUUUGUGGGUUCCAUUUUUGCCUCGCGACUGGGUGUGUCGGUGAGUCAUGGUGGUGAUGUGGUGGUGGUUUUGUGGUUGCGUGGUGGUGGUGAUUCAGUUGUGGUGGUGGUGAUGGUGAUUCGGUUGUGUGGGUUGUUUUUCGCUGUUGUUUUCGUGUUAAGGUGGUGAUGUGGUGGCGUGUACAUGAGGAGUUUUUGUUUGAUUUGUAUCGUCCAGCUCAUCUUGAGAUAACGGUUAUGCGGGUGGUGGUUGAUGUUAGCAACAUAAGGUGACCGUUGUUGGUGUUAUUUUGAGUUAACGGUGAUGUAGGUAGUUAUUGGUGUUGGUAAAAUAAUGUGGUUUGUUGUUGUUGGGUCGGGAGUUUGAAUGUAAAGUGGUGGUUUUUGGUGGUGAUGCUUGUAACAGUCCGAUUUUCGCUAGAUUUAUUUUUAAUUGUUUUAAUAUGUGUUUAUAUGUGCUUGUGUGUGAUUAUUUAUCAUUGGAUGCAUUUUAAUGGGUUUUAGUGCAAAAAGGAUAUUUUGGUCAUUUUGCGAGUAAGGGUUAUUUUGUAGUGUUUCAAGUGAGAACCAUUAUUUUACUAAUUUACUAGUGUGGUAAUUAGUUUUGAGCUGGUAAGUGAUCGUUGUUAUUAUUUUACCGUUAAGUGAGUAUAAACAUUUUUGAAUUAGUUAAUGAGUGAGUUGAGCCCAUUAAGGGUUAAGCUCAUUUGAGAGGAGCCUAUAUAAGUUCUAGUCUUUAGAGAAAAAUAGGUUUUUAUUUAUUUCAUAAAAAUUUGAGAGAGGUAGAGAGAGAAAGUUCAAAAGAAGGAGCAAAAAGUUUAGAAGGGAGAAAGCUUGAAGAACCAAGAGGUGAUAGAGAUUCUAGGAGCUAAAUUGAAGCUUUUGCUAGGAUUAUUGCUUAUUGAGGUAAGGGGGGUUAGAUUUCAAUCAUAAUCUCUUAGUUUAAUUUCUUCCCUAAUUCUAUGCAUAAGUGCUUAUUUGAAUGAGUGAUUAUUUUGCAAUUAAUUGUUGAAAUUCGUGUUCUUGUUAUGAUGAUAUGUUUAAGUACAUGAAUUUGGUGAUAAUUGAAUUGUUGUAGAUGAAAUUGCAUGUUCAUAAUAUGUGAAAAUGGGUAUAUUGUGAAUUGUGCUCUAAUUGUUGAAUUGUGUUAUGUUGUUGUUGAAAUGUGGUGAGAUUCAUGUUUAAUUGAUGUUGUUGUUGUCAUGAGAUAUUGUUUUUGAUGAUUCAUAGCUUGGUUGUUCAUAAUCAUGGGUUUGUGAUGUGAAUUAAGUUGUUGUUGUUGGUUUUGUGAAAAUGGGUUGAUUUGGUGAAUCAUGUUAGAAUGGAAUUUGAUUACAUGUUUAGUGUAUUUUUGAAAGCCCUUUUAAGUUCUAAAACCUGUAAACAAUCUUUGGAAACAUAUUUGGGCGUUGGGAGAUCAAAAUUGGGAAUUUUAGAUGGAAAAGGGUUGGAACCCGAGAGUUUUUUCUGCAGAACUGAUGACUGUUCGCUUAAGCGAACAACCACAAUAAGUUCUGGAACUUGGUCGCUUAAGCGAACGGUAAGCGAACAGCUACUGUAAGCUUCUGGAGCUUGGUCGCUUUAGCGAACAGAUGGACGCUUAAGCGAACGAGCCCAAUUUCUGCAACUUUUGAUUUUCGUUCCGGGCUUUAGGGAGCCCAGUUAUGUGGUGUCUACUUAUGGUUUAAGAAACCGAUUUUAGAACUCCUAUUAACCCUAAUGGAAACAUGUGCGGUAAGUUAACUUAGUUAAAUUUACAGCAUUCCCAUAAGGAAGAAUUAGAAAACAUGAGGUUUCAUACUUAAUUUCAUUAACUAUAAUUAAGAAAGAAGCAAUUAGAACUGUCAUGAACAGAAGAAGAAAUCCAGGUUGUCAAUCCUACUAACCUAUACAGAUCAAUUUUCACGAUCACCGAUACAGAUUCUCAAUUGAAAAGGCAUUAAGCAUAGACAAGAACGAAUUAAAUCGGACACAAGAAAAUCAUAAUUUAAUAAAAAGUUUAUUAACGAAAUUUAACAAAUAAGAAGUGGUUCAUCUUAGAACUUGUUUUGGUCCGGCUAGAAAACCAAUACAACGCUGACACGUGGACAAGAAGCCCUCCGGAUCAACGCCCGUCACUUAGGCGAACACCCUAACUCUAGUGCACGCCACCCCACGUAAGCACGCCCAUGUGCACCACACAUCGUACACGUGUCUUCCAAAGGCCUUAUGAAGAAGCAUCGCAUUUUACGGAGACGGUUAUUCUCUCACACGCCUAUAUAAGGGUGACAUAGCUUCAGCCCAGGGUAUGAUUCAAUUUUCCCACACUUUUCACACAUUCCAUCUCAUUUCCUACACUGACUUGAGCGUUGGAGUGCUAACGUGCCUGCAGGCACCUUUUGUUCCACCUGAAGACUUAUCGCCAUGGUGAUCAUUUUCUAACAGCCACAUUCUAACGAUCUUCCACCGUAACCGUUUUUUGUUACGUGUUCCUCCGCCUUAACUCUUUUCAAUUACACAUUCCUCCACGCAAUCGUUCACAAUUAUAGCUCCGUCUUCUGAAUAAAUGGUCGGAACUCAAAGGAGAAAUGUCGCAAGUCGCUCCUCCGCCGUGCAGGAAUCACGUCAUGUGAUCCAAAUCCUCUAAGAUUAAGCAAUUCCAGUUCUUGAAUCAGUGAAUCAAGAAGGAAACAUGAACACUAUUGCUCUUGACGCAACGAUCAACACUCGUCCUUCCACAAUGUAACAUCCCAAACUGCUUUCAGGAUUGCCGACUGAACCAACAAACCAACACGAGUCUUUUUAGCGUGGUUUGUCAUCACUCACACGCUUUCCCAUAAACUUCCCUGAAGGUCACCCAUCCAAAGACUACUCCUAGUCAAGCCCGCAUAACUGUGGAGUUCUUAUGGAAUGAGCUAAUGAAAAAAAGAUGCAUCAUGUUGAUAUAGGUAGUACCAAACAAUUAUUAUAAGCAUUCCUUCAACGAUGCAGUCUCAUACCUGCAUAGUCUUAGGAUCCCUCUCAUUAUGAUGUGAAUCGGCUUUACCUAGAAGCUUCCAGAAGUCAGACCACUCUCCACCCUCGCCAGCCUCGGGUGUUGCAUUCCUAAAAAACUAAUUCCUUCACCAUAGUUUAUGCUCACUUUAUAAAUCAUAAAGGCUAAUCUGGUUCUUCCAAUAGAACUAGCUAGAAAAUCUUGAAAGACUAGUUCAUGCUUUGUCAAAGCCUUGAUGAAGUUUUUCUUAAAAGCUUCUUCCAAAACCUUGAUUUUGAUUUCAAGUUCACAAAUAUAUUCUUUUAAGGUUAGGUGCUCUUCUCGGACAAUGUCAUACUGCCUUUGAAGGGCUUGAUCUGCAGUACGAGGAUCUGUAUGACCACCAUUCUCAAGGAUGUCAUUUCUGACCAGAAGGUGUUCAUAUUGCUUCCCCAUAAAACUACUGAUGGCUUCCAACAAAUUAAACUUUUUCCUUAAUUUUCAAAAUUCUUUUGAUUUGUUUAAGCACCUUUUAGCAAGUUCUUUAACAACACCAACUAACUCUUAAUGAGUAGUUUUAUGAAGUUCCUUAUCUCCAUCAUCAGAAUCUGAUUCAAACUCAGCAUCAGAAUCUACUUCAAAAGUAUUUUUUAUCUAGGCACCCAAAUCAUUGUUCUUCAACUCCUCCAUCUUUGACUUCCACGGUUGGUAAUAAGUAGCUUUGGUUGCACCCAUCUUCAAGUCUCGGGUCAAUACACCACCUCCAAACUUCUUUUUGAAAUUGGCAUAAAGAUGCCUCAAAUAUAUCAUAUGUUCAAUAAUGUCAGACCAUUCAUCAAGAACUAAUAUGAGUCCCUGAUGCAAAAGAAAAAUUAGGUAAGCUAGUAUGCAAUAAUGUAAAUUUAAUAACAUCAUAUCUGAUAAAAAAAAAAACUUUACCAUUUGAUGGUCAGAAAUAAAGAUCCAUCUCUUAUCAGUUCAAGUAUCUUCGAGCAGUAAGGUAAGGAACCACCUCCAUGAAUCUGUUGUUUCAGUCUCUACAACUCCAAAAGCCAAAGGAAAGUAUUGGUCAUUUGCAUCUCUACCAACUACAAUUAAUAAAAUUCCUCCAUACUGAGUUUCAUAGGACAACCAUCUAACCAUAUGAAUGGCCUACAUCAUGAUAAAAAUGUCUUCUUGCAUCCAUCAAAACAAAAGUAGAAUCUGCUAAACCUUGGUUCGUAAGUUAGUGAGGUUCUCUCAACAUUAAUCUUAAAAGUGUUUCCAGUUGACACCCUUCUAAGCUCAGCUGCAUACCUCCAAAGUAAGGCAUAUUGUUUCUUGGCAUCCCCUUCUAAGAGUUCCUUAACUUUGUUUUUUGUCAUCCAAGUUGUAUGAAAUGAUACUCCUAGUGUGUACGUUUUUCUAUGAUCUAUCAUAGUUUCAGUUAAUUACUUUCAUCUCAGAUGUUUUGAUUUUAUCAAGGGCAUAUAUGGAAACAAACUUGGAAUUUUCACUACCAUUAUCUAAUACCAUUGGACACUUAUGGUCCCAUACCAUGUCUUUAGUUUAAUUGUAUGGUUGUAAGCCACUUUGCUAUAGUGGGCCAGGAAAUCACAUUCUUUCUUGAACACUAUCAUACACCUUUCUUUAUAAUUUUUUACAAACUUAAUCUCAGUCUCAUUUAAUACAGACCACUCGCUGAUUGCAUCUUUAAACUCUAUUAGAGACUUAAAAUCCAUACCUACUUUGAAAACAUAGUUAUUGGUUAGCUGACUCAUCUUAAAUACAUCAUAAAUAGGUGCUCUCUCAUCAUCAUAUAGAUCAGGAUCAUCAAAAUUUAAUUUUUCACUCUCAUACUCCUUCCCUUAAUCAAGGUUAACCACAUCAUAUCUAGUUACUACUUUCAACUUUUUACCCUUAUUAGACUUUAGUGUACCACUGUCAACAUUCAAAAAUUCAUUAUGUUCUUUCUCAAACCCAUCUUCAACUUCAGUGCUCUCUCAUCUUCACUAUCAUCAAAGUUAACAUUGUUAGCAUCAUCUUCACUGCUACUUGCACCACCUUCCUUCUCAUGCUCAUUACCAUUGUACUUUAAUAACCCUUUUCCUUUGUUAGUGUUAACUACUUGAGAACUCUCACCCUUCUCAGUGUUAACCACCUGGGAACUCUCACCCACUUGAUUAACAACAUUAUAGUUAGGAACAUCAACUAAUCCACAUUAUGUUCAACAAAACUAUUAACAGCAAAGAGUUUUUCAAAGUAUAAUCUUUAAUCUCACCAGCAUCAGCCUCUACUUUAAUCACCCUAAAACUAACCUCUUAAUCUAACAUCCACCACAAUCUAUAAGGUUUUUUCACAUUCAAAUCAUUUUCUACUAUACCGGUUAUCUCCAAUAACUCCACCUAUCUUCAUCUAACCCUUCCUUCAAUGUUUCCUCCCCCCCUUUGCAAGUAAUAAUCCAAUCCCUAACAAAGCUACCUCCAUGAUGAAAAUUAACCAAAAAAUCCAUAAUUAGAAACAACGAAAAAAUGGAAGAAAAUAAAACUAAGUUCAUUAAAUAUGUUCAUACCACAAUUUCGCGAAAAAGUGGAAGAAAACAAAAACUACCACUGAAAAACAACAAAAUACAUUCAUAUAUCACAAAAAAUAUUCUAAAUUACAUACCUCGAUUUUGUUUCGAUUUGCUUCUCCAUCUGAUGUGUUCUUUCUUCUAAGUUCUUCAAUCUUCGUGUUUCCAAUUCCCAGAACCCUUUUCCUUCUAAGUUCUUCAAUCUUCAAUGCUCGUUACUAUACGUUUCAAUUCAUUUAGAUUUUAACAAGAUUUGAAGUAGGUUUUAAAUUUCGAUUUCACUAUGUUUUCACCUCUUUGGAACCCUAAUCCUAAUCCCCAAUUCGUUUUUCUAAUUCAAGAGAAUACAAAGAUUGGGGUAUUUUCGUUCUGUCAUGUCUAUCUGAGAAGCCUGAGGUAUUUUUGUCUCUUCACACCAACUUUUGUUGACUCAGAAUGCCACUUAAUCAAUCAGCAGUGUCGUGUCAUCAUAUUAGUGACAUGGCAGUCAUUAACAGGGUCGAGGGACCUAUUUUAAGUGAUUAGUAAUUGCAGUGACCGUUGGAAGAGAUUAGUAAGCUCAGGGACCAAACUUCAAAUGAUCCCUAUUUGCAAGGACUAAAUGCAACACCCCGUUUUCCCAACAUAAAAAUUUCAUAACAAUUAUCAGAGUAUUCAACACAUAAACGAAAUGCUACACUUCUUAAAAAUCAUAAAUGAGAUAAAUAACAAUUUAUCCUUCAACAUAAUUAUUCAAAACUUCGCAGCGGAUUUAAUUAAACAACAUAAAUAGUCUUGGCACGAAGGCCUCAUCAAACAUCUCAUAAAUAUCCAACUAACAACUUAAUCAUAUAAAUUGAUAAUCAAAUACGUAAGGAAUAGAAAAUAGCCACAAAAGUGAAGGAAAAUCGAUUUCAAAUUACAGAAUAAGUAGCGGAAAAAUUCGAUUUUCAUUCCUUGGAUCAUUACGAACUACACAUUGAAUCAGUGAUUCGAUUGUUACCUCGAAGUGUGAAACUGAGACUGAAGCUGGAAUCUGGAAUCUGGAUCACGAUCACAGCAAAGCAAGCAGCAGAGCCUCUAUCAAGUCCACACGAACAGUGCUCCUCCAAAACUCGGUGCUAGCCAAGGAAUCGGAAGUCUCAGAGAGCUAGGGUUUCUUCAGAGCGCGUAACCUCAAACUUUAGCACUAGGGUUUUAUUUAUAGAACUCCUUGUGUGCUAUGCAAGUCAGAAGCCACUAUUGGACUUCACUAAGCCCAAUAACGAGUUUAGUAGUUUUGCUAACUAAUUAGCNGAUUUAAUGAUUAAUUGCAUUACUUGAAAUAUUAUUGAAUGAUCAAGAUGUUGAUGAAAUGAAUUGAUAUGAUGAAGUAUAAUGUUGUUGUGAUCUGAUUAUGCUGCUAUUGUUAUUUAACUAAGUUGCAUGAGUCUAUACAAGAUGAUUAAGAUGAUGUUGAAAUCCAAAUUAUUGGAUGUAUAUGAGAUGAUGAUUAAGAUGUUUUAGAUGAUUGAGUCCAUGCAUUAGCAUACAUUUGUUGGGGGCUUAUGCCCUGGAGCUUUGUACUAACCACGAUGGAGCAUUUGCUCAAAAUAAUUGUUGGGGGCUUAUGCCCUAAAAGUAUAUUAAUACAAUAAUGCUGGGGGCUCAUGCCCUGUAUUGGUACCACAUGCAUAUAAGAGGUUUAGGUUGCAUUGUAAUUUUGAAACAACUCCGCUGCGAUUGAUAAAGAUAUUUUGUUGAAAGUUAAAUUGUUAUUUAACUGUUUUUAGAUUAUGUGAAUGGUGAUAUCCCGUUUGUGAUGUUUACUCUGAUUUAUGUUAAGAAAUUUUUAUGUUGGGAAAACGGGGUGUUACAUCUACUACAAUACCACUACCAUAAAUAACAUGGCCAAGAAAACUCACCUCUUUCAACCAGAAUUCACACUUAGAUAAUUUAGCAUAAAGUUUCUUCUCUUUCAACACUUGCAAAACAGUCUUCAAAUGCUCAGCAUGAUCUUCCUCGGUCUUGGAGUAAAUUAAAAUGUCAUCAAUGAAAAAAACCACGAAACGAUCCAAAAAUGCAUGAAAAAUGCGAUUCAUGUACUCCAUAAAUACUCCAGGUGCAUUUGUAACACCGAAAGGCAUCACUUUAUACUCAUAAUGUCCAUAUCGCAUUCUAAAAGCUGUCUUCUGCAUAUCUUUAUCUUUCACUUUAAUCUGGUGAUAACCCGAUCUCAAAUCAAUCUUGCUGAAAACACGUGCACCCACUAACUGAUCCAUCAAGUCAUCAGUUCUUGGAAGUGGAUACCUAUUCUUUAUUGUUACUUUGUUCAACUGUCGAUAGUCAAUACACAAUCUCGUACUACCAUCUUUCUUCUUAACUAGAAAAAUUGGCGCUCCCCAAGGUGAAACACUUGGUCUUACAAACUUCUUAUCAAGCAAAUCUUCUAAGUGUUUCUUCAACUCAGCCAACUCAGAAGCUGACAUGGUAAGGUGUCAUAGACACAGGCUUCGUUCCCGGAAUAAAAUCAAUCGAAAAUUCAACUUCUCUUUCUGGAGGCACAUCAGGAAUUUCAUCAGGAAACACUUCUGGAAAAUCGCAUACCACCUGUAACUUAUAAAUCACUGCUUGAUUCUCAAUAGACAAAGAUGCCAUCAAAGAAAACAUCAAGAUUCCAUCACAUUCUAAUUGCUUCAGCUGCUUAGUAGACAAGAACUCUGCGCCACUUUCCUCUUCAGCAGAAGAGAAAUACACCGACUUACUAAAACAAUUAAUAUGAACAUGGUUGUACUCUAACAAAUUCAUAUCAAGGAUUACAUCCAUACCACUCAAAGGUAAACAAACUAAGUCAAUUUCAAAAUCACGAUCAAACAUAGACAAAGGACAUCUUAAACACACGAGAGAAGUAGUCACCGAACCCUUAGCUGGAGUUUUGACAACCAUCUCUCUAUUCAUAUUUUACAUAGCAAGACCCAACUUAGUAGCACAAUCAAUAGCAAUAAAACAAUGUGUAGCACCAGUAUCAAUAAUAGCAACUAAAGGUGUACUAUCAAAAUAACAUGUACCUCUGAUCAAGUGAUCCUCAUUCUCAGUCUGAGUAGCAGUCAAAGCAAAAACUCUACCAGUAGUCUGCGCCUUCUUAGGCUUCUUGCACUGCGAACCAAUGUGACCUUCCUCAUUGCAAUUAAAGCACACAAUAUCAUCAUGUUUACACUCAGCAAGUGCAUGACCUUUCUUCCCACAACGAAAGCAUCUUUUCACGUCCCCAGGACAAGCAUUACUCUUGUGACCUUUCUCACCACAAGUAUUGUAGAAAAUCUCAACAGGGGCAUCUUUCUUUCUAGGGCGCCUCUCAUCAACCAUUCUCUGUUUACCCUUAUCAGCAGAAGCACUGUAAGGCUUAGGACGACUCUGCUGACCUUUGACUUUUCGCUCAUUCACAAUCUUGUAAUGAGCCUUAGUAUCCUCCUCAUAGAUCCUGCAACUGCUCACCAGAUCAUAAAAAGUACGGAUCUUCUGGUAACCAAUUCCUCUCUUAAUCUCAGCACGCAAACCAUUCUCAAAUUUGAUAAACUUUGAAAAUUCAGCAGUCUCUGCAAUGUAGUGCGGACAAAACUUUUCCAACUCCACAAACUUGGCAGCAUACUCUGUCACUGACAUGUUUCCUUUCUUCAGCUCAAGGAACUCGAUCUCUUUCUUCCCGCGAACAUCUUCCGGAAAGUAUCUGUCUAGGAACUCUCUCCCAAACACAGCCCAAGUAACAACAGCACCAUCUUGCUCCAAAACAGGUAGAAGGCUAAUCCACCAAUCAUCAGCUUCCUCAGCUAGCAUGUGCGUACCAAAAUGCACUUUCUGAACCUCUGAACACUGCAUGACCCGGAACACUCUCUCUAUCUCUUUGAGCCAAGUCUGAGCUCCAUCAGGGUCAUAUCUUCCUUUGAAAGUAGGAGGAUGGUUCCUCAGAAAAGUCUCUAGCAUCCUCACUUCAGCAUUAGCACCAACAUUUGCAUUAGGCUGAUGUACCACAGCUUGAGCCACAACUUCUACGGCAGCAGCAAUCGCAACAUCGUUUCUUCCAGCCAUUCUUAGUUUUCUACACAACAAGCAACAAAAAAAUAAGACAGUAUUACAACUGUUACUAAACACGACACGACUCAACUACUUGGCCGGAUGGACCUGCUCUGAUACCAAUUGUAACACCCCGUUUCCCCAACAUAAAAAUUUUAUAACAAUUAUCAGAGUAUUCAACACAUAAACGGAAUGCUACACUUCUUAAAAAUCAUAAAUGAGCGGAUUUAAUUCAACAACAUAAAUAGUCUUGGCACGAAGGCCUCAUUAAACAUCUCAUAAAUAUCCAACUAACAACUUAAUCAUAUAAAUUCAUAAUCAAAUACGUAAGGAAUAGAAAAUAGCCACAAAAGUUCACAACCCGUUACGUAUCAGAGCACCUAAAGACACAGUGAGGGAUAGCCACUCACGACAGCAAGCAACAACUACUUAUUCUCGAUCACCUGCAAGUUACUCAUACGAAGAGCAACAUUUCCAAGCAGAAAGGGUGAGAUUUCACAAAACAAUAAUAUUAAGCAUAUAAUUCAACAAUUAUAUUUAAUACCAUGAAAACAUCAUAAUAUCAUCAUAGAUAAUAAUAUAAUUAUAUAACACUUCAUUAACAGCUCAUAUAUAUAGAAUCACAACUUAAGGCUUUGUUUGGAUAUCUUAAAACUAACGAAACGGAGCGGAGCGGAAUGGAAUGGAGCGGAGCGGAAUGGAAUGGAGCGGAACGGAAUGGAACGAAACGAAUGUUCCAUUCCAUUGUUUGGAUAUUUUACGACGGAAUGAAACUAAUUUCUCAUUCCAUUGUUUGGAAAGUAGACAGAACGGAAUGAGUUAUAACUUUUUUAUUUCAAUUUUACCCUUUAUUUUAAAAAAUUAACAAUAAAGCAUCAAUAUUAUUCUGCAUAGGCUAUAAUUAAUAUGCUGGAAAUGGACUAUAAUUAAUAUGCUGCAAAAUUCACGUUUGUAGCAGCAACUCACUUGGAAUUUUAAAACUAAAAUAGUUAUAAUGUAACACAUGAAAAUUACAGGCUUGCAAGCUAUGCAAUUUGAAAUCAAACAUCAAUAUUGAAUCUGCAGUGGCUAUAAUAAGCUGCAGAAUUCUCCUUUUAUAGCAAAUUCCUUGAAAUUCAAAAAUUAAAAUAGUUUUAAGAUAACACAUAUAUUCUUGAAAGUGGACAUAAUGCAUUUUAUAUUUCUAAAACGAAGAAUGAAGAGCUGCAAACAAGAGAAAGAGAGGUGGAGGUGAACAGUAAGAGCAAGAUGGAAUACAAAAUGGUGAAGAGAAAAAAACGAGGGAAUGAGGUCACAUAAAUGAAGUUGGGGAAUGAAAGUAGGGACAAUGUUGUAAUUGUCUUAUUAAUGUGUUUCAUUCCAUUGGGAACACCUCAAAUUGGGGGGAAUGGAAAAUUGGUUAAAUGGGUGGUAUUGGAUGGAAUGGGUUCCAUCACACUCCAUUCCAUUCCAUUCAUUUUUUACAAAACCAAACAAUGGAAUAUGGAUCUAUCCCACUCCAUUCCAUUCCAUUCCACCACUCUCCAUCAAUCCAAACAUAGCCUAACAUCUUGACAACUUAACAACUUUGACUCGACAAUGCGACUUCGACUUGACUAUGCAACUUAAACCUCUUAUAUGCAUGUGGUACCAAUCCAGGGCAUCAAGCUCUCAACGUAUUAAGUAUUAAUAUACUUACAGGGCAUCAAGCCCUCAACUUAGUUGAGCUAAAGCUCUAGGCAUCAAGCCCCCAACGUGGUGAGCAAAGGCUCCAGGGCAUCAAGCCCCCAACAAUGAAUGAGUAUGCAUGGACUCAACAACUUAGCAUCUUAGAACAUCGACCUCUUAUAUAAAUCCAAUCAUUUGGAAACAUCUUCAUUCAUCUUGGACCGACUCAUGCAGCUUAGUUAAUAAACAAACAGCAACAUAGGCAGCAUAUAAAACAGUUCAUGAUAUAACAAUAUCAAUGCAAAUCAACAACAUCUCAACAUCGUUUAUAAUUCAUGUAAUGCAUAUACAUUUAUAUCACAUUAUUAACAACAUCAAAUCAUAUAAUUCAGGCUUACUGAAACAACAACAGUAAGAUAAGCAACUUAGUUGCUUACCCCCAUGAUCAACUCACAUCAACUCAUGCGACAAAGGUCACAUUUAACCUAACAAGGUGUUCUGUCUCACAAGUGCUCGCGAGGCGUGAUGAGUCAUUUAUUAUCCUUUUUUAUAUGUUAUUUAGUUUAGUUUUAAUUAGAUUUAAGUUUAUUUUAUAUUAGUAUUAUUUCCUUUUUAAGAUAGUUUACUACAAAUUGCAUUUUAUUAUAUUUCAGGAACGAAUAUUGGAUGGAUUGAGUCUUGGAGCAAAAGAAAGGGACUUGGAGCUGAUUCAGUACGAAAAUACGAAGAUUCGGAGACAAAAAUAUGUCUCUCCCAAAGUCAGAAGCUUGGCACGGCCGGGCCACCCUCCAGAGUCACUUUUGCUGCUUUUGCUUAGAUUAUAAGCUACUCUAUUUUAGCCCGCAGUUUCUUGUGGAACAUUCUAGUAAUGUAAUUGCUUAGNUUUAAUAGUUUGGUUUGAGAAGGACUUGUCGUUAGGAUGAACCAAUAACCCCAAGGCUUUUAUCUUUUAUUUUAUUAUUUGCUUUUAAUUAAAAACCCAAACUUUUCUACCUUAUAAACCUUUAGUCUAAUCAUUAUCUAAAGUCAAUUAAAUUCCUAACUCCCUGUCGGAACGAUAUUCUAUUUUUACUACUUCGAUAGAACCGUGCACUUGCGGUUUUAUCCCAUCAAUGAUUUAGAGUUGGCGGUUGUGGUCUUUGUAUUGAAGAUAUGGAGACAUCACUUGUAUGGUUCGAGGUUCGAGGUGUUUAGUGAUCACAAGAGAUUGAAGUAUUUGUUCGAUCAGAAAGAAUUGAAUAUGAGGCAGCGAAGGUGGCUUGAAUUAUUGAAAGAUUAUGACUUUGGUUUGAAUUAUCAUCCAGGUAAAGCUAAUGUUGUUGCAGAUGCCUUGAGUAGAAAGACAUUGCAUAUGUCCGCCAUGAUGGUUAGAGAGUUCGAGUUACUUGAGCAGUUUAGAGAUAUGAGCUUAGUUUGUGAGUGGUCACCUCAGAGUGUGAAACUAGGAAUGUUGAAGAUUGAUAGUGAAUUUCUGAAGAGUAUUAAAGAGGCACAAAAAGUUGAUGUCAAGUUUGUAGACUUAUUGGUAGCUAGUAAUCAGACUGAAGAAGGUGAAUUUAAGGUCGAUGACCAUGGUGUGUUGAGAUUACGAGAUCAAAUUUGUAUUCCUGAUGAUGAAGAGAUGAAGAAAAUGAUUCUUGAAGAGAGUCAUAGAAGUAGCUUGAGUAUUCAACCGGGAGCUACGAAGAUGUAUCAUGAUCUAAAGAAGAUUUUCUGGUGGUCUGGAUUGAAACGAGAUGUGGCACAGUUUGUGUAUUUGUGUUUAUUUUGUCAUAAGUCGAAGAUCGAACAUCAGAAACCUGCUGGUAUGAUGGUAUCGUUAGAUGUGCCAGAAUGGAAAUGGGAUAGUAUAUCCACGGAUUUUGUGACGAGUUUGUCGAAUACUCCUAGAGGGAAUGACGCAAUUUGGGUUAUUGAUAAUAGAUUGAUGAAGUCGGCUCAUUUUCUACCGAUUAAUAUUAGUUUUCCUGUUGCCCAGUUGGCAGAGAUUUAUAUUAAAGAGAUUGUGAAGUUGCAUGGUGUUCCUUAGAGCAUUGUAUCAGAUAGAGAUCCAAGAUUUACUUAAAGAUUUUGGAAGAGUUUGAAAGAGGCUUUGGGUUCUAAGUUGAGAUUGAGUUCGGCGUAUCAUCCGCGGACAGAUGGUCAUUCGGAGAGGACGAUUCAGUCGCUAGAGGAUUUGUUGAGAGUUUGUGUUNGAAGUUAGGUCUAACAUAAGAUUAUAAGUUUAAUAGUUUGGUUUGUGAAGGACUUGUCAAUUAGAUGAACCAAUAAUCCCAAGGCACCUCUUUUAUUUUAUUAUUGUUAUUUUCUUUUAAUUAUACAAAAAUACAACUUUCUAUCUUUUAAACUUUAAUUCUAAUCAUUGUUAAAAGAUAAUUGAAUUCAUAACUCCCUGUCGGAAUGAUACUCUAUUUUUACUACUUCGAUAGAACCGUGUACUUGCGGUUUUAUCCCAUCAAGGCGAGAGCCUCUACUCGCUAUGGCGAGUUCAGGAAAAAGGCAUUCGCCUUGGCAAGUAAGCAACUCGCCUUGGCGAACCAGAAACUGGGUGCUCUCGGGAAUUUGACAUUUUUCACCCAAAAAUCCAUUUUUAAACUUUCCCAGGUUCAAUCUCAAUCUAAAAACUUGCCUAAUCAUUAUUAUACAUGUUCAGGCACUCAAAAUCAUCUAAAGUUCGACUUAAUAAGUGAAAUCACAAAUCAGGUUCCUCACUGGUCAUACUCGUUAUGGCGAGUGAUCUGCUUGCUAUGGCGAGCUGCAAGGUGCAACUCGCGAGGCGAAGAAAAGUUGCUCGCGCGGCGAGCAAUGAAGAUCAUCCCUCGCUAUGGCGAGGAUCAUCCCUCGGGAGGCGAGCGAUGAAUGUUGGCUCGGGCAGAAGUGCAGUUUUCACCAAAAUUCACCUAAUCACCUGGUUUUUAAGCUUAACAUUGAUUCCUAUUGAUUACCUAAGGUCUGUAAACAGUUUCUACAUCAAUCUAACAACUCUACAUCAAUUAAUCAUCAAUUUCUCACUUAAACCCUAAUUUCCAACUUCUCUAAAUUAAUCCUACACUUGUCAAUACAACCAUCAGAAUUACAGCCUUAAUAGAAUUGAAUGCUAGUCUCACCCUUACCUUAGAAUUCGAAAUCGCAGCUCUCUAGGUCCUCUUCUCUUCUCUUGGCUUUUUCUCCAUUUUUCUAAAACUGAACGUACGUACUAACUUUUUCUAAACUAUGUCUUCUCCUAUUUAUAUCUCCUCUAUCUAUUUUAUCUUAUUUCUCUUUCUCCCCCAAAACUCUCUAAAAUCUCAAAACAACCCCUCAACUCAAUAUUUAUUUUAUUUUAAAAUAUUAUUUUAUUAAACAAUAAAAUAAGUCACAACUCCUCAUUAAAUUACAUAAAUCACACCAAUCAUAUCAAUCAUCUAAAAUCACACAAAUCAUAUAAAUAUAUUCUAAACUCAACAAAAUAAUUAAAUUAACCAAAACGGGCGUUACACUAAAGGUAUAAAUAAGCCUUUAAAAAAUAGAUUAUUACAAAAAAUAUCUUAUCUUCUUCACGAGUUUCCAGAACCUACUGCAACAACGAGACCCCCUUUCACAAUCUCAAUUCAAGAAUCUGGGAGGGUUUAGAUCUGGAUUUGAAAUAGUUUUCCACUUCACCAACAUGUUGAAACCAAUAUCAAAUUAAUUCUCUCUCAGAAUGUCGGAUCUGAAACAUGGAUCAUCACAUCCUUAAAAUAUCGAAAAGAAAAAGAGAGAAAAAAAGGCCGCGUUGAGUUUCGAACGACGACAAGGUUGUUAAAUUAGAAGCGUAGAAAGAAAGUGAACGUGUUUUUGUUGUUGUUGUUGGUUUUGUGUGAAGAGAGAGAGAGAGAUAGAUGGAGAAGAAGAAGAAGAAGAAAAACACGCUUUUGUUGUUGUUAGGCGUGAUGUAUGCUCGUGUUAUCUUUUUUAGGGAAUUUGUGUGGUUGAAUAUUGAUGAUUUUUUUGUAGUUUUAAUUUUUAAUAUUAAUUAGUGAGGUUGAAUAUUUUUAUUUCAAAAUUAAAAAAUUACACAUGCGGCGUUUGACUCAACCUAGUAAAUCGUCACAUUUACAUUGACUCGGCCAAAAUUGAAGAAAAGAACUACAAUUGCAAAGGGGCUAAUUUACAUGAGACUAAAUUUGUUAUUUUUUUAAUAGGGAGUAGAAAUCGCAACAUUGAUAAAGUUAGGGGGCCAAAGUACACUUAAGCCAAAUAUUUAAAUAAAGUUAGGGGGCCAAAGUACACUUAUGCCAAAUGUUUAAAUAAAGUUAUGGGUUCAAAUUAAAAUUAUGCCAAAUAUUUAAUUUGUUCAAAGAUUAACCCUUUACGUUUUUAGCGAUGUUGAACGCGUUAUUGUAUCUAAUGUAUUUUCAAUUUGAAUGAAUGAAUAUGGUUUUUUUUUUUUGUAAAAAAAAAAGGUUAAAAUCAAAUGAACGAAAAAGAAAAAGAGGUUAAUUAAAUAAAGGAUAUUUUAUCAAAUAAAAAAAAGUCAACAACACACAUUUUAGCACACACUCUUUUUGAUUGGCUAAAACUUUCAUGGGUCCUGCCAUAUAUGGGACUCCAUGAUUCGGUGAAACAUAUAUAUUUCAACCAAUCAUAUAAAAUGUGUUGAAAAAUGUAUGUUUUUGUAUUCUCUUUAUUUAAUAUAACCCAAUGAAAAAUUAAUGGGUUAAUAGUUAUUUUGCUCCUUGAAUGUGUAAAGAGUAGUCACACUACUCUAAAGAGUAGUCACACUACUCUUUAAUAUAUCAAAAUUCUAAAAUAGUAUCUGAUUGUAUAUUUUGUUAAUCAAAAUAGUCUCUAACGUUAAAAUAGUCGUUCAUUGUUGGUAACACUUUUCAUAUGGAGAUUGAUAUGAAAAUAAGUAAAUAUUUUAAGAUUUAAUACGACAAUAAACACGUACAUUGACUAGCAUUAAACUCGUACAUUGACUAGGAUAAUGUACAAUUAAAAAUUAUUUUAAAAUUUCGAUAUAUUGAAAAUUUAUUGUGUUUAUUUCUUAUACAUUUAAGGAUUAAAUAGAUUAUUACCUAAAAAUAAAUAUGUUAGUGUAAUAAUCUCAAUUUUAUUUUUUUUUACAAAAACAAAAUGAUAUUCAUUCAUUCAAAUCAAGAGAUUACAUCAUUCAAAUCGCUAAAAACGUAAAUGAUGAAUCUGCGAACAAACUCACAACAUCCAAGUUAAUAGCAUAUAACGGCAUAAUAUGCCUACAAAAAUGUAUGGUAAAAUUAAAGUGACCGGAAAAUCCAUGACCUCUGAAUCUGCAACGUUGACGGCCAAAUCUUCGAUUGAAUAAUCGAUCUUUCAAUAUGAAUCAAAUGAAUACCGCACGAAGACGAGAAAUCAAACAACGCCGCACAAGACAAACAACAAACCACCACACUUAGAUGAUGAAAUCACAAAGAAAAAAAAACCUAGGUGCAUAUGUUAGAGUGAGGACAGCCGACUUCAAAUUAGAAAAUUUCUUCCUUUAUUUUUGGUCAUAUGGUUUUGAUGAAUUGAGAAAGAAGUGUAAUUAGAGCAAGGAAUGAAGAAAACAUAGGAAAAAUGAAGAAUUCUUACGACGAACAGAAGCUAAGAGAUGAAGUAAUCUAUCUUCAUUAUCUUUGGCAACAAGGCCCCCCUACUCCUCCUCCUCCUCCUCAUCCUCAUGCUCCUCAAUCAAACCCUAUUCUUCCUCAUUGGCGUCAUCAUCAUGAUCCUUUUCCACCUCCCCACACCAGAUCCCUCCCUCCUGUGAAUUCCACCACAUUCAAGAAAAAGAAAGUUACAAAACCCGAACCCAUUUCCUCUGAGAACCGGAGGGUUAACACAGAUGAUAACAACGUUACAAAACCCGAUUCACCGGGUUGGCCGGUCCCCGUCCCCGUUUCAAGAAACUCUCCUCAAACAGGCUGGCCCACACCAAACCCUCCUCCUCAACCUCAAGAGAUUGAGAGACUCUCUGCAUUACAUUUGCAGAACAAAGCCUGCAAAGCUUUCAAAGACUCUCUGCUUAUUGAUUCCGAUGAUGACGAUGAUGAUGAAGUUGAAGAGGACUAUGAAGACGAAGAUGAAGAUGACAACGAAGACGGUGAUGAUAGAUUUAAGCAGUUUGAGAAUUUUUUCAUUAAAGUUUUUAUGGAAGAUAAUGAACUGAGAUGGUAUUACCAGAGGUGUUUUGAGAAUGGAGAGUUUUUAUGUUUGGUUUGUGCUGCUGAUAAGAAGAAUAAUAAGAACAAGAAGUAUAAGGAUUGUAUGGGUCUUGUUCAACAUUCCAAAUUGAUUUUGAGGACUGCGAAUAAAGUGGCUCACAGGGCUUUUGGGGAAGUAGUGUGUAAGGUUUUGGGUUGGGAUGUUCGUCGUCUUCCGACUAUUGUUCUCAACGGGGAACCUCUUGGCCCAGCUCAGUCACUGGUAGGUAAUCAUCAUUUUCAUUACAAUUCCAAUGUGUUUAUUUAUAUUUUGUUUUGUUUUGUUUCAUCUUAUUAGGAAGAUUUUAAAUAUUAGAGUAGAUUAAGGCUCCGUUUGGUAAAAAAUAGCGAAUAGUUGAUAAGUUAGCUUAUAGAGGAUGACCUAUAAGCUAACUGAUAGGUGAUAGCAAUUAGCAAAUAAGCUAGCUUAUUGAAUUUAUAAUUUAGGGUAAAGUAGCGGUUGAAGUAGCUUAUAGAUAUGAAAUGACAUAAAUAGCAUAUAACUAAUAAACUAGCUUAGCAGAUGACUUAUAAGCUAGCUUAUUGAUUUUGUAGUAUUUGUUAAAAUUAGCAGUUGAAGUAGCUUAUAGAUAUGAAAUGACAUAAAUGUAGUGUUCGGUACAUAUUAGAGUGGAUAAAAUGUGUGUCAAUAUUUUCUGUCAACAACAUUAGUAGUCCCUGGUUUUUAGAUAAAAUGUUGGUGAGAAAUGGUGGAGGCUCGUUUUAGGAAGGGUUGUUGGUUUAGAAAUUCCCCUUUGUGUGAGCAGCUUCCUUGUUUAUUCUCUUUAGCAGUGAACAAGGAGGAAAAGGUGUCGGAUAUGCGGGUGAGAGAAGGUGAUUUAUGGAUGUGGAAUUGGUCAUGGAGGAGAAGGUUUUUUGUUUGGGAGGAAAGCAUUUUUUAUCAAUUCCGGGUGCUCCUUGAUUCAUUUCUUUGGAGGGAAGAGUUGGAUAAGUGGGCUUGGCGUCCGGGAGAGAGUGGCGAUUUCACGGUUAACUCUAUGUUCCUUUUCUUGGAAGAGAGGUUUGUGGUUAACUCUGGUUUUUGUUUGCUGUCCUGGGUGUUUCUGGGUGCGGGUAGCAGGGGAUUAGAUUGCAGUGUUUUUGCUUUUCUGUCCUGUUAUGGUCACCUGUAUUUGGCUUCUGUUUCUGUUCUGUUUGUUGGUGUUUUUCCGGGGCGUUACGUGUAUGGGCGGCGCUUUUGUCUUGUUCCUUUUGCUAGCUUUUGCGCAGGUUAGUCGAAGCUAUGUACAUGCAUUUCAGAUGGUUUUCGCUUGAUUACAUUUCCAUAACUUUGGCUUCGGUGAUACGGAUCGCUAGGGUGGCUGCUGCAGCUCGUUUGCUGUUCCAGUUUUUGGGGGUACAGGGCCUGGGUUGCGAACGUUCUGUCUGUUUUCCCUGCAGCUGCGUGUUUGCAGUGGCUGUUGGGUUUGUUUUUGGGGGUGGCUGUCUUGUGUUAAGCGGCUUUGUAGCGGCAGUAUAGUGGUUGAGAUUUUUUCGGUGUUCGCCUAUAUACGCCCCCGUUUUUGUAUUUUUUUUUUCCCCUCUGUUGCUAGUUCUGUGCAUGUUGUAUGAACUAAUCUUUAGUAAUACUUUGCUAACUCAUUGUUUUUUUAUGCCAAUAGUAACCCUUGUGUGGGAAAACAAUAACAACAUGGUUGCAUCAUUCAUGAUUUUGAGUAAUCCUUGCAUGAUUGAACUCGUCAUUAAUUUGAAUUGAACUUGAAUAAAUUGAAAUGUGAAGAUAUCAUUAGCUUUUAUUACGGAUUUCAAAUGAAGCUAUGUUGUCAAAAGUGUACCAUAGCAGAAUAGUGUAGCAUUAGUAGGGUUCGGUGCGACGCUUUUGGCCUGCGAGCCGCCAUUAGUAACAGCGCUUAUUGCGGCCCCAAAGCGCUAUCCCGUCCAUUAUUAGGAUUUUGGGACGAUAUUCCUCAAAUCCUGUUUUUUAAACUGUUGUCAGGGUAAUGUUCUGUUCUUCAUUAUGUUAUGUUCUUGCUCAAACAAUCGUUUUGUUCUUCUUCCUACGUUUAGUUCAGUUUGUUAUGUUAAAUUUUAUUGCUCUGUACUUUAGGUUCUUCAAUUAUUAAGUAUGACAGUCUCUUUAAUUUUGUGUAUUUUUUUAUUCUUUAGUAUUUAUGUUUACAUCGUGAACUGAUUUUUAGUUUUUGCAAUAGUGUCUAUCCACUAUUGCAUUUUAGGGGGCCGGUGCUACGCGGCGCUAUCUAGGUUUAACAACAUAAAAAUAAGGAUAGGGAGAAUAAAGACACACUGCAACUCAGAUGUACUAUUUAGUAUAAACAAAAUUAACUCAACCAAAUCCAUAAUAAGGUUAUUAAAAACAUACAGCAACACUAAAUUUAUGGAAUUGGAACGCAGACACUUUGAGGUCAUCAUGUAAGAUUUGAAUCUUCGAAACAUAGACGGUAAAACAAAUUAGAAAGUAAAAUCACAAAAAAGAAUGUGAAACAUUGUGAAUUUCACUCGCCAUCAUUCAUUGUGUGUUCCUAUGGAGCACAAACACUAGACAUGUUACUAGCACUGACACGUGAACAUCAGGAAUAAUUUAAGAAAAUAGAAGUUGUUGAAUGUAACGCCGUGUGUCAGUGUCGUGUUUGUGCUCGGUACCAACACAUGUCAGACACUUGACAUGCCUUCAAUAUAGUGUCGGUGCUACAUGCCCCAAUCUAAUUAAAGUGGUUGAACAAAGAUGCCAUAAGAAGAUGGAUGACGCUGGUAGUAGUUGUGGCCAGUGAACAAUAGAGAUUGACAGUACAAGAAGAUGGAUUGUUGGAGGGUGGUGGAAAUGAAAAUUAAACUGUAAAUUAGGCAAUUUGGUCCAGGGUCUGCUCAUGCACGCGAACUCUGACUCAAUGGUGUGUUAAUGAAAUACAGGGAACUUAUUAGAUGGGUUGCGUUCACAAGUUGACAGGUUUGAAAAUGAAAGUAUGUUCACUGCACCAAACGAGUGUGCGGGUUUGCACAGUAUAGUUUGGGUUGGAUUUGAACCACAAAAUAUACUGAACCAAUUAUUUUGGUUUGGGUUGGAUUUUCAGGGUGAUUGGGAAAGACCCUAACCCAUGAACACCGUUUUAUGGAUUGAUUCAGAAUGAAGUGGAUCAGUUAGUAUUUUAUUGAAUAUUCUUCUAAUUUUUGUAUCUAACUUGUAGUUUAUGUAGAUGAUUAUUGUCACAGCAAGAAGUGGUCAUAUUGGAUUAAGAUUUUGAACUUGGAAUGCUGAACUUUGAACUUGUAAAUAAUCCAAUGGGUUAAGAUGUUAAAUUUCUUCCUUGUGAAGGAGAAUUAUUCUCGGAUUCAAGCUGAUACUAGAGAUUAAUAGAAAACUCGAUAAUCUUACUUUAACUACACCGGACAGUUUUUUUUGUUGUUAGUAUGGUGGGUCUAUUUCUCCUAGCUUUUAUCAUUUGAUUGCAGAUGUCAAAGUAUUAAGAUUUAUCAAAGGAUAACUAAGAGUAGGAUUGGUGUUCGAGAAAUUUAGGCACAAGGAUAUUGUUCCCCAUUUUGAUGCAAAUUUGGCAGUAUCUUCUUGUGAUAGAGGAUCCACCUCAGGAUGUUGUUUUCUAUGGAGGAAGUCCUUGUUUCAUGGAUAGGUAAGAAACAAUAUUUGGUUGUAAGGUCAAGUGAUCAACAUAAUAUUAGGCUAUGGCUCUCGCUUCAUGUGAACUCAUAAGGCUGAAACAAUGCAAUGAAUGGUUAAAAUUAUGAGAUUAAUCUGUGAUAAUCAGGUGACUUUCUCUAUAGAAUCUAAUCUAGUAUUUCACGAUUGGACCAAACAUAUAGAGUUUGAUUGUCAUUUUAAUUUGUGAGAAAAUUACUUCUAAAGAUAUGCAAUACAUCCUUUGCAAUUCAAAAUAUCAUUUAACGGAUUUGUUCGCCAGAGCUCUUUGGGGACCAAGGAUUUCUGAUAUCUGUUGCACGAUGGAAGCUUUGGAUUUCUACAUUCCAACUUGAGGGGGUGUUGAAAUUAGACAAUAAUUAAUGUUCAGUUUUCCUAGUAUUACAAUAUAUUGUUUCAUAUGACUGAUUGCUUUCCUAGAUAAUUUAUAUCUUAGUAAAUAAUGCUUGUUUUUGAUCUCUCGUCUGGUAAUUUGUAUCCAUCCUUUAUAUAAGUAUCAUUAUGCCUUUAUAUAAGUAUCUAUAGUAAAUUAUGAGUGUUCAUAUUCAGAAAUUCCUCUCCACUUUUCUCUCGAGCUAGGAUAAAUUGUGGAUUAUAUGCCUGUUGAUAAAAAUAAAAAAAUGUUGUGUUCAUAUAUUUUAUAACACUCAACCAUUGAUUUUUCAGUCAACUUUUAGCCUCUUACAUUAUCGCCUAAGAUGCACUCUCUCACUUCACAAGAGCCAAUUUCAUAUAGAAUUUAGUCUCUGAAGAGAGUUAGAAAAUUGGAACGUAUACUUUUGGCAACAAAAGUAAUACAAUACGACAUGUCUGAGUAAUAAAUGAAUUUGAUUUGAUGAGGAGUUUGAAACAUUGCAGGGUGAGCCUAAGGAAAGUGUUGCUGCUGCUGCUGCUGAUGAUGAUGGAAAGGAUGGUCUCUGCAACACAGAAGAUAUAGCUGUGUCUUUGGAUCAUGUUGAGGAUCCCACUGAGGAGCAUGCAAAAGGGGUUGAUAAGAGUAUUGCCGAGGUUAGAUGUUUAAAAUUUAAUUUUUUUUUUUUUUUUUUUUACCUUUUUCAGGUGAAAUAGAAAAGCUAGAAGUAGACUCGUAGUGCUAUAACUGUUUUAACAGUUUGACUGUGUUCUAAACUGUGUUUUGAUUGUUUUGUUUACAGUGUUCUUCCAAGGAAGGUGAUAUUGAUGAAAGUGGAGGAGGGGAAGCUCAAUAUGAGGUGAGGCAUUAUUAUCUUUCUCAAAUUAAAAAUGCUGAAAAGAGACAGGGCCUGUUUGGAUUAGCUUAUGAAAAGUUGUUUAUGCAAAUAAAUAAACUUUUAUGUUAAUUCAUACGUUUUCACUUUUUUUAUAACUACCUUGAUAAGCUUAUGAAUAGUACAUUAAAACUUUUUUAUUUGCAUAAGCUUAAAAAUAAGUCAAUCCAAAUGGGUGCGGUGUUGAUAUUUUCAAUAAAAAGUUGCUGCUUUGAUGUUGUUAGUUGACUGCAAUCCAUGCCAAAUCCAAUGUCUUCGUCUUGCAAGUCCUAAAACCCUCAAUAAAAUAAUGCCUUAAAAUAACUUAAACUCCCUAUUGUUUCAAGAUGCAGGGUGAGACUAAGGAGAAAGUUGUCUUUGAAGCAUGAUGAUAACCAGUUGAGGAGCAUGCACAACAAACAUGGCCGUCCUUUAGGGGGUGCAACCAGCUCUAUAGGGCGUCUAAAAUAUUGAGGGCUCCAAAUUUAUUAUGUGUAUAGACCAAAUGACCCUAACUCAAUCAUAUGUUGAGAAUUGCUUUUUAAGGCACACACUUAAUAAUUGCUCGCAUAUACCUCAAAUUACAUCCAACGACAAUAAAUUACUGUUUGCAUCAUUUCUUUCUUCUUUUUAUUUUCUAAUUGCUAAUUAAUAAUUCUUCUUUGCUAAUUUGAAAUUUUAUUUGUUAAUCGCUAAUUAUCUUUUAAUUUUAUUUACUGGUUCAACUUAACAUUGUGAAUCAACUUAACCCUUGAUAAGAUGUGAUUGAUUUUAUGUAAUUAGAAGAUAAUCAAAUCUUCUUUUCAGUGCCUUUAUUCUUUGUUUGGGUGAAAACCAAACACCUUUACAAAGUGAAAGAGGAAGAAGAUUAAUAUUAUUGAAUAGAGAGAGAGAAAAAGAAACUUAUGAUUUGUUCAAGAAGAAUAGAUAGAAGUUAAUAAAUUUUUGGCAGCACACCACAUUCUACCUUCUUAGCAUUAGUAUUUUCUGUUUGGUGUCGACUUCUAACCAACGCUAUAUGUCAUAUUCCUAGAAGCUUCUUAUAUAGAGCUAGGCAUGGCAAUGGGGUGGGAUGGGGACGGGUUUUACAUUCUCCGUCAGCAUACCUGAUUCUCAUAUACUUACCCGUUACCCUAUCCAUACCCAACAGGGAUGAGAAAUUGAACCUCAUCCCCGUCCCCGACGGGUUUGGGUAUCCUCGCCCCAUCCCGUCUCCGCAUUAAAUAUAUUUUUUUUAAUAAAGAAUAGAAGUAUUUUUGCAACCUCUAGAGAAAUGUUGUAAUGCAUUAUCCAGCAAUAUACUCACUUUAAUAUUUGUUAGACCGAUUGAUUUAUUUGCUCCUUUAAAUAUCAAUGGUUGUUUUAAUAACACAUCAAUUAUUAAACAAAAUAACAUGGCAUAUCAACAUAAAAUAAUUUUCUGCAUUCAGGACGAAUUUGUGUAUGGGUUCGGGGAGGGUACCAAUAUACCCGUUAACCGUCUCAUACCCGUGUUUUGAAAUCGGGGAAAACCCAUACCCAAACCCAGUCAAAACGGGGAAAAUCCGUCAAAUUGAGUUUAGUUCGGGCGGGUAACCACGGGUAUGAGUUUUUUUUGCCAUGCCUAAUAGAGCCGCCUUUCCCAAAGCCUAUGAUGCACAAAUACGGAUACUGGACACGACACAGACACUGACACACCAACACCAUUAAUAAUUUGAGAAAAUCAUAUAAUUCAGUGUAAUUAUAUAUGUCGAUGUCAGACACAACACGUGUCCGACACCAAAACACGCCUAAUCCAAUGAGUGUAUGUGCUUCAUAGUCCGAAACACUUCAAACAACCACAAUAUUUCUGAAGUAUAUCACUUCUUAUAUAUGUGGGGAUGCAACAGCCAAAAGAUGAAAUUUUCUAUGAAUAGUUAACCCAGUAGUUUCAGCCAUGUCCAAACUUUGAUCCCUCUCCACUCCACUAGGCAAUGACCAAUCAAAUUGAUGAACAAGAUUAGCUAAAACCAACUCAUUAACAACCAUAGCAAAACUUAUUCCAGGACAACCCCUUCUACCAGCACCAAAAGGUAUCAACUGAAAAUCAUGUCCUUUAAUAUCAAUUUCACUUUUCAAGAAUCUCUCUGGUUGAAAUUCUAAUGGUUGAUCCCAAUAACAAGAAUCAGUUGAAAUUGCAUAUCCAUUAACUAUUACUUGUGUUCCAGCUGAAAUGUCAUAGCCCAUAAUUUUUGUGUCUUGCAUUGAUUCCCUUGGAAUUAAUAAAGGUGAUGGUGGGUGUAAUCUAAGAGUUUCUUUGAUCACUGCUUUUAAGUAAUCCAUUUUGUUUAAAUCUUGCUCAGUUAUAUGAGUGUUUUGGCUUACCACAUUUCUCACUUCUUGUUGUAGUUUUUCCAUCACUUUUGGGUGUCUUAGGAGUUCUGUCAUUGCCCAUUCUAAGACUGCAAGUGUUGUAUCUGUACCCGCACCAAACAUGUCCUAAAGAAAAGAAAAAAAAAAUGCAACAAUCUCUAAUUACAUUAUUAGCAUAAAUUUUUGUAUCUUGUAAACAUAUUAUUAAAUAGUAUAUAGUUUAAAAUACCAAACAAAUAGAGUUAAAAAAAAUAUUACAUAUGUCACAUAUUUUUGAUCCACAUUUAUAAAAUUUGAUAAUCGGGAGUUUACAAUACUCACACAUACGCAUCAAUUACCACUGGAACUGGACUCUGAUAUUAGACAAAAUCACAAAUGGCACAUAUAUAGAAGGUGAAUGCAUAUGCUCUAACAUUAAUUAGAUUUUUUUUUUUUUGAAAGAUCAUUAAUUAGAUUUUAAAAAGCAUUAUAUAUGGUCGAUUUUAUUUUUUUUGAAAGACUUUGUUAUUAUUCACCAUCACCUUAUAGAUAUUUUUAAAAAGCAUUAUGUAUGGUCGAUUUUAACAUAAUUCACCUUAUAGCUGGUCGAUUUUAAAAAGCAUUAUAUACUAAUUCUUACCAUUAUCAAAGCCUUGAUGAUUGUUCUAUCAAUCUCAAACCCUGUGGCAUUUGUCCUUUGGAUCCAAAGCAAAACAUCCACAAAAUCAUUUUCUCCUUCAUGUUCAAAAUCACCAAGUCCCUUUUUGCUUCUCUCCAACCAACUACUAACAUGUUCUUCAACAACUUCAUCCAAAAACUCAUCAAACACCUUAGCCACUCUUUUAGCUCUACCAUACAAACCAUUAACUCUUCCAACCCAAUCAAGCCAAGGUACAAAAUCCCCUAAAACACAAGCACCUAACAAUACCUCCAACUCAGCCACUGCCUCCCUAAGUUUUCCCUCACCUUCAUCACUGUAUCUCUUUCCAAGUGUUGCCCUACACACAAUAUCAUUAGUUGUUUCACAUAACAAAUUAGUUAAGUUCAUUGGUUGCAACAAAGAAUUAGAAUACCACUUUCUUAUCUUUUCAAUCAUUAUCACACUUUCCUCUUCUCUUACCAUACUAAAAGAUUGAACCUUUUUGGCACUAAGAAGAUGUAAAACACAUAUACUCCUUAUUUGUCUCCAAUAGUGACCAUAAGGAGCUGAGGCUAUAUCUCUUGAACCAUACCAAAAGAUAUUAAACAUCUUUCUAUGUGGUCUAUUGCAAAAAACAAGGUCAUGUGUUUUGAGGAUUUCACAUGCAGCUUUAGAAUUUGAGACAAUAAGUAUUGGAACAUUUCCAAAGUGAAGUAACAUUAAAGGACCAUAGAUUUGUGCUAAGGAUUGAAGUUUGUGGUGAGUGAAAGUGGCUAGUUGAUGGAGAUUUCCUAGUAUUGGAAGUUUUGGAGGAGAUGGUGGAGAGUUUUUCUUGAUUGAAGAGUUUGAAUUCCAUUUGGGUAGUGAAUAUAGUAAGGUGAUGAUAAGUGCAAGGAUAGAUAUUAGGAACAAGAAUGAGUAGGUUCCAUGUAGAAAAGGCAACAUUGUGGAUGUUCAAUAAUGAUUAUCUAGGAUUCUAUUUUUCUUUGCUUGGCACAAGUACUCUUAGGUUUCUUAGCUUGAGUGGGAACAAUAUAUUGGCAAAUGCAAUGGUGUACAUUAAUUGUUUUUUUGGCUAAAUUGUAUUUUUGGUCCCUUAACUAUUUAAUUAGUAUCGUUUUAGUCACUUAAUUAAAAUUUGAUUUAUUUUGGUAUCUUAACUUUCUCUCUGUUUACACAUUUUGGUCCUUUACGUUAGUUUUAAUUCAAAAACGUUAGGGUUUUUUCAUCUUCUUCUCCUCUUCUUCAUCUUCAUAUCAUCUCCAUCAACCUUCAACAACAAUAAUUUGAGAAAAAUUCAAGAAGAAAAUGAAAAACCCUACCGUUUUUGAAUUAAAACUAACGGAAAUGAUCAAAAUGUGUAACGAAGAGAAAGUUAAGAUACCAAAUUAAAUCAAUUUUUUUGAAGGAAAAUAAAUCAAAUUUUAGUUAAGAGACCAAAGCGAUACUAAUUAAAUAGUUAAGAGAACAAAACAUAAUUUAGCCUUGUUUUUUUUAUAAAGGAAGAUUUGAACAUGAAAUAUCCUCUGACUUGAAAAACACUAUGUAUUUUCUUAUCCCCAUUUAUAAACUAAUGUACGGAUCUUAUUUUUAUCCUAUGUAGAAAUUCAUAAUAUAGGAAUAUAGAUUAACUCAAAUAAAUAAAUUCAAACAUUAUAUGUCCCUCCAUUUCAAAUCCUAUCUAGUUUUAUUGAAUAUUUUUGAACAAAAAAUAAUUGUUUAAAAAAUUCAUGAUAUCUAUCAUCCGUACCUUUGAACUGACUUAAUUCUUACAAACAUUCUUACAAAAUUAUUUACGGUAGAAUAUCUAUACACUUAUCAUUGAAAUUUAAUUAAAAAAAUAAUUAAAUUUGUGACAAGUCGUCGAAUAAAAGAAUUAUUUCAAAUAAAAAAGUCGACUAAUAAAAGAAAAAAGUCGUCUAGAUUUUUUUUUUCUUAUAGACAUUAUGUAUUAAGUUAGUGAUGAUAUUAAUUUCAAGAGCUUGAGGUCCGUUCUUCAAAAAAAAAAAAAAAAAAAAAAGCUUGAGGUCCGUUUGUUAAACAAAAAAUAUUUGAAAGUAUCUCAUAAUAUUUCAAUAUUUGGCUACGACUAUUUUUGGAUGGUAAUUUUUUUAAAAAAAUGGUUAAAAUAAAGAGCUAUUUAUAAAAUUAUUUAAAAAAAUGAUUUUUAUCAUGUUAAAAUCUUUAACAUUAAAUAUCUAAAAUACCGAAUGUCAAAAUUAUUUUUUAAAUUUAAAAUAAAUGAGUUUGAAAUAACUUUAUUUCUUUUUGAGUAAAUUCUCAUUAAAAUAGUUUUUAAAAAUAUAAAAUUAAAAUCAUUUUUUUCAACCAUAACAAAGUGAACAUAAAUCUUAGACAUACUUACGAUUUCUUCGUUGUUCAGUAACUUAUCAAUCGAGCUAUCUUGUGUGUGUCUUUGCAACUAUUAUAAAAAAUAUAUACGUAUGUUUCACAUGGUUUUCUCUACUCAAUUAUUGCAGCUUGAAGAUGCUAAAAUAUAGUUUCUCAGCCAUAUGUUUACUUGUAUGUGUUUGGUCCACUUUAUAGAUAGAAACACCUAUUUUGAAGGAUCUUUUUUCUAACACAGCCACAAAAUUAUUCGAUUACAUCUAAAUCUUUUAAAAUUUUAAUCAUAAUAUAUUUAAUUUGUCUUACCAACAAUUAAUUGGUUCUAGAGCUAAUGAACUUCGGCUUCACAAGUAUGUGAUUAAGGGUUUGAUUUCCAACUCACGCAUAUGGAAGAAUUAUGGUUGACAGGGAAGAACCUAUCUUGUGAGCCCUCAUAAUCUCUGACGAAGAUUAAUCAUUUAUAAACAACGAUGAAAAUUUUGUACCAAUAUCAUGGUUAUCCAAAACAUAAAAUUGUCCUUAUUUAUAUAAAUUCUUAAAUUGUUUAUCUCUCACCCUAAAUCUUUAUCUAUCUCUUACAAAUUUAAUGAAGGAAAAUGCUAUGUAUAAGUAUAACUAACCAGGAUUUGUCUAACGUGCAAUUUUGUACAUGUUAAAGGAACUAAAAGUAGCAUAUUAUUAUUGAAAAACACCAAUCAAUUAUCAAAAUAUUAUAUUAUUUAAUGUAAAAUGCACAAGUUCCAAAACAAACUUACUACUUUAAAAUUCUUAACCCGAACAUGACCAAAUAAAAAAAAAAAUCUUAACAUGUGCAAAUUUACGCAUUAUAAAAAACACAACUAAAAAAAUUUCAUGAAUUCAUCUAGAUGAGUGUUAUUUAAUUGCACAUGCACCACUACCUACAUGAUUGCCACAAAAAACCAGACAUUCCACCAAGGCGAAUAUUAAUUAGCAUCCAAAUAACCAGACAAGGAAGAUAAGGAAGAUUUUGAUGGAAAUCAUUCAUGGAAUGUCUUGUUUCCUUCAAAUUGGUUGUUGCUAUAGAUAAGAAAGGCUCUUCUAUUAAGCAACUUAAUAAUCAUAUAAUUAGGAUUUAUUUCCCCUAAAAAAAGUAGAAUUUAUUUAUAUCUCUUACUCUUAUAUAAGUCUUCAUUGUAACAAAAAAAAUAUAAAAACAGUCUUCUAACUCACUGCAUACAUUUCAGACAAUAAACUUUAAGUAAUAUAACGCUCAAAUUUAGUUGUUUAACAUUACAGUAAAAAAGAUAUCAUGAAAAUUUAGCUGUGAUUGGAUCUCCUCACUUUAAGAAAUUUAAGAAAUUAUAGAACAACUAUGUUGUAUAAUUUUGCAGGAAUUAAUAGACAUCCACUACCACAUUCAUCAACAUUAUCAAUUGAUUGCUACUACAUUCGCCAACAUUUUCGAAUGAUCAGAACCUAAUAGACUUCCAAGUUGAGGCAUAAACCAUCAGCACAGAUGAAAUAAAAAUCAUAACAAAUGUAAGAGAAUGUUAUUCUAGAUUAUCCAGUUUACCCAUCCAUCCUUAACGCAAAUUCCCCAAAAUAUUCCAAAGAGUCUCUUAGACAGAGUAUAAGUGCGAAAUCAGAUUAUGCAAGUGUUUGCAUGAGCAGAUAUAUAGUGGAAAAAGAAAAAAGCAGCAUUCUCAUAUAAUACAAAAUUACAGUGAAUCAGUUAGUUGUUUUCCAACCCGCGGAAUAAAAUAAAUGUAAGCGAGUUUUCUUUGUUGAUUGUUUACGAACCAUUAGCCGGAGGUGUGGAAGACCUUUUCCCCUCAAUGUCCAUUUCUUUUACACUAUCACUUAGAGAACAUGGUUCACAUUUCUUCUCCCCUUUGCCGGUUUCAGGAUUAUCAUCCUCAUCACUCUCAUCCACAACAUUAGGACUCUUUUGUCGAUGCUCUUUCACUUUAAGAUAUUCAUCAUAGUGGGCUUUUCUGUGCUUUCUAAAUUUUUUGCUCCGAUCUGUUUCAGAAUCUUAACAAUCCAACCAACCAAAGAAAGUUCAAGUAAGAUAAGGAGAACAAGUAAUUAACCAAUAAAACAGCAAAUAAACUUAUUAAUCCAAAUUCAAUCCUGAAAUUGCAAUACUCAAGAAUCUAGUAAAAAUUGAGUUUUGUAAUAUAACUAUUACACAAGUAUAUUUAUCACUAAUAUAAAUAUUCAAUCCAACAGUUAGUUUUUUAAACCAAGUAUCAUGGAAAGAUGUCAUCUUUAUAAACUCAUGCCAAGCGUUAUCCUAUCUGGGACUUGAGUUUUUACCAAUAGUCAGAAAUAUGAAAUGAAGAAUAUAUCAUAGUAUCUUACCACCACCAUCUUGUUCCAUUGAUUCUAGCUCAUCCUCAGAUGAUGUCCAACCAAAUGAUUGUCCAGUGCCUCUUUUGCUGCUAGAGCCUACAUCACUCAGAGCAGUCCAUAUUGCUUCAACUUGUGAUGCACGCUUGUCAUCAUCAGUACUUGCAUCAAAACUUCCUCGUACAGGGGAUAGAGAACCUAAAAAUUAAGGGUAAUCCAGACAAAAAUAUUAUCUCAGAACAAAAGUUUACGCACAUAGAAUGUCUAGAAACUACAGUAAACGAGCAGGUUCGAGAAUAAAACCGCACAGUUAUAUUAACAGAGUUUGUUUGAAAUAUGUUCUCACAUUUCUAAACCAAACAUGUCAAAGACAAACUAUAUUCUAGCACAAGAAUAAGAGCACUAUUAUAAUUAUUAACUAUAGUUAAAAGUUAAAAGUAAAAUAACCCUUCCCUGUUUAAGUAAUAUCAUACUACUAUUUGAAUAAUAGCCAUACUCAUGCAUGAAUCUAAAGUAAUGGAAACAUGAAGUUUACGUUAUGUUCUUUACAUACAGUCGUCAUCAAUCAUAGGAUGAUAUGGAGUCUUAGGCUCAGUAAUUUUCUGCCUCACAGGUUUGUUUGCCUCAAUUUCUCCAAUGUUAGCCUCAUCCCACCUUACACGUCCCCUACAAUGUGAUACUGAAUGUGAGAUUCAUUUUAAUAAAAAUAAACCGACGAGUUAAAAGCAGGACAGUAAUAAAAUGAAAAGAUCACAUAAAUGCUUCUAAAAUACAUAUCCAAACAUUCAUAAUUAAUAAAAACAUGAAGUUUAAACGAUCAUUUUUACAUAAUUAUAUAAUGAUCUGGACUAUGGACUCGAGCUCGGAAAAAUUCUGCCUCGCAGGUUUGGUUGCUGGGAUUUCCCAAACAAAAAACACCAUUUGAAUGUUUCUAUAAUAUAUGGUCCAACCGCAAAAAAAGAGCAGAAGUUCCAUUGAUCAUUCUCCAUUUUCAUCUUUCAAUCAUCAUGUGCUUUAAUUAAACAGACACUACUCCUUUUUUUCUUUAAUUUGAUGUCAGUUCAAUACAAAAUGUUACCACCCCCUUUAGGUGUUGCCUUUAUAUAGGCUUCUUGUUGAGCAAGUAAUAAUUUAUGAGGUAGUUAUCAUGGAUUUCCCUUUGGACUAAAAGGGAGUUAUUAGAUAGUGCUUUUUGGAGUGAGGUAGUUAUCAUCGAAUUCCCUUUGGACUAAAAGGGAAUUAUUUGGUUAGUUAGUGCUCUUUGGAAGGCAGAAAACAGGAAAGAGGGUGAUCUAGAUAUGCUUACUAACUCUUGCAGGAUUUCCUUUCUCUUAUCUACUCUGGUCAGAUGUAACAUUGAUGGUGACGACAACCACAUGUAUCUUUUGGCAGCAUUUAUCAGUUAUCACUUCAGAGACUCUCAAUAUCAGAUCACACUUUUGCUACCAAUUUCUCGGAUAUAUAUAGCCAAUUAUAAGUCUCCACUAGAUUGCCUAAGCCUUUAGUAGAGUUAGUCCUUAACAUAGUAUCUUAGCCUCUGUAAUCAAGUCGUCAAGAGUUUUUUUUCCCAUUGCUCCUUUGACUUGCAUUUACUUCCUAAAUAAUUUGAAUCCGCUUACUCUUCCUAGGAUUUUGAAUUAGUAUUUGAACUUUAAAUGCCCUGAAUUCUUGUCUAAACCUUUAUGUUAAUCGAUUAUCCAAUUUCUACAAAGAACCAAUUGCCCUAUUAUGAAAUCCAAUGUGAGUACGAGGUGCUCUAAAAGUGUUUGUGCUUAAUAUUUAAACUCAAGAAGGAAGGAAGCAUAAUGGAAUGUGGCGUGUGUGAAAACUGUCUUCCCGCAUAAAGUUCACGGUUUAGGAGUGUUCAUGCAGGACUGUGUGUCAUAGAGGUGCAAGGACUAAUACUAUUACUUUCUGUAUUGGGCUACUUCGAACUACAUAGAAAAAUAACAUGGGCCAUGCGAAAGUUUAACCGCAGAACUCAGAAUGUUGUAUCAAUCCAACUAAGAAAUGCUUCAGGAAAAAAUGAAGGUAAGGUCUAGUAGAGGUUUUAUAUUAUGGUGUACAAGGUUAGUUAUAAAUUUUGAGCUGUUUUUUCAUCCAUGCUCACGUUAAUUUGCUUCUUAUGCAAAUCAUACAGAUUCCUAAGUUUCCCUCGUUAUAAUACACAAUAUGUAAUGAGCUGGCAAUCCAACUUUCACUCUCCCGGUUUAUAAUAAAAUAAGCAAACAAAUAAACAAAAGAAGUUUGUAUGCAUUACUUCAUUUUGGUAGACAAAUUAGCUCUUCAAACAACAAAAGUAUGCAAAGAAAUCCUCAAGUAGCUUGAUCAACCUGAGAAAACCAUAAGUUUUUGCAGUAAGUUCUCAAGAUUCAAGACCGCAAAGGAUAAACAGGAAUAAAAUAGAAAAACAGAGAAAAGUUGUAAAAAUCACUGCCACACAAUUUAGAGUGUGAAAUAAAAAGGUAUUUGGUGAAAGAAACAACGGGAAAACGCAUGCAAAAUAACAACAACAACAACCAAGCCUUAUCCCACUAUGUGGUGUCGGCUACAUGAUUCAAACGACACCAUAGCGUUCUAUACAAAAACCAUGUCUGUCUCCAACUCAUUAACACAUGCAAAUUAAGAAUCUAAAUAAAUAGCAUGUCUUCUUAACUAAUGUUCAUACUUAUUAGGGAGAAACAAAGUUGAUUGAGUACAAACAUAACAAAAAGAUCACAUAUAAACUUUACCACCAGCUAAGAUUUUCAGCAGAAUAAUAGAAGAAAAUUAGAAUACCGUAUAGUUAUAUCUAAAGGAAAAUGAGUUCCAAAACAGGAAGUUAACGGGGUCAUGCCCAUGAGGCAUCUGUUCCAAGCCCUACUGUUUAUCGCAGGCAUGUAAAACCGUGUCGUUGUUUUCAACUUGCAAUGGUUUUUAUACUCUUACACUCACAUCCAUAAAAAUUAAAGGAAUAUGCUUCUGUGGACAAUUCAACAAACUUUAUGACCAUAAGAAAAAACAGUCAAACUCAAACCCUAAACCUUGUUAAUAAAUUAGAUAAUACAAUCCACUCAAACCAAGCUUACAUAUAUUAUGAAGCACCAACUCAGACACGAACACGACACGGACAUGUCGACACCGAUAAUAAUUUUAGAAAAUAACAUAAUUCAAUGUAAUUAUAUGUGUUGGUGUCGUGUCAAUGUCUCCGAGGAGUAUAUGUGCUCAAUAAAUUUCACAUAAAGAAAAAAAACCAUCAUCAAUAAAUCAAUCAAUGCAAAGCAAGUUCAUUAUUCAACAUACAGAAUAUUAGGGGAAAAAACCUUAAAUUUCAAUUAUUCAAGGCUAUGUACAUGCCCAAUAACCCUAAUUCCAAUUCCAAUUACAAAACAAAAACCAAAGAAUUCAAAUUCAAAACCAAAACAAUUAAAUACAUUUGUUAAAUGAAGAAAAAACAAUUAAAUUUACCUCAGAAUAUAAAAUCCGAAAACUUCAUAGACAGAAAAUCAUUCAAAAGAACAAACAAACAAACCCUAAAAGGAAUUCGUAGCAAUCAAACUCAAAAGGAAAAUGAAAAUCAAUUUUCUCGGGAAAAACUAAUAAGAGAAAAUGGAAUGAGAAAAUGAAAAAGAGUUGUUGUAAUACCUUGAAAUUGAAAUUGAAAUUGAAACUGAAACGGAAAAUGGAUUUUUUGUGGUGUUAAAGUUGAUUCUGCAUAAGUCAAAUAGUUGCAAAAGCGCGUUUUGUAGGAAUCGAAAAUUCUUGUUCGUAUAAUGUUUUUAUUUCCAAUAUUACCCCUUUUGUUUAUCCACCAAGUCAAUGGUCAAACCGCGUAAUUAAACUGGAUUGACCCGAAUAACUCGGACAUAUAACUCAGUCAAUAUAAAAAAUUACUCCCUCCGUUUCAAAAUACAUGUCCAAGUCAACAACUUCACAUAUGCCAAUGCACAAUUUUGACCGUUAAUAUCUUUAAUUAUCUAAAGUAAAAAAUUAUAAAAAUUUAAUAUUUUGAAAAUAUUUGUCGAGACAAAUCAAACAACAUCUUACACGCUAAUAUUUGUAUUUAUACAUUAGUUAAAAAUUAUGGUCAAAGUAAGUCAAGUGAAUAGUGCACAUUGCAAAAGUUGAACAUGUAUUUUGAAACGGAGGGAGUAUAUUGGUAUUAAAUUAUAUUAAACCGGAUGACUCGGUAUCUAAAUAUUUGACACCUAUAAUUUUCUUAAAGAAAACAUAAAGAGAAAAAAAGUAAAAAAUAUCUCUAUCUCUAUCUCUAUCUCUAUCUCUAUUAUAAACAUUUGCCUUAAUUUUUUUGAAAAGUACACAUGGCAUCUUCAAAUUUUUCUUCUCAUUUAAUGCUUUUUCAUCAACCAAUCAAAAUAGAUCAUGACUCAUUUAUUUUUUAUUAGCCAAUCAAAAUGGAUCAUGACUCAUUUAUUUUUCAUAAGCCAAUCAAAAUUGAGCAUUACAUGAUUUUUUUUUUCUAUAUAUAGACAAAUUGUUUUACAUUAUUUUCAUCUACCUCUUUCUCCCAUAAAAAAACCACUUUCAACCACAUUAUCUUUUCUUUUAUUUGUUUAUUUUUUAUUGUUUUACUGUUUGAUUAACAUUUCUUAUUCUUAUAUUACUUUUUAUUGUGAUUUUGUUUGUGUGAAGAAUAUUGUGAUUUCUUAUAUUAUUGUUUUCUUAUUCAAAAUUGGUGUUUAUAUGUUCUUUGUCUUUGAUCGGAUUCUUAUUUUGGACUUGGAAGUCUAUCAAGAGAAAAGAAGAAAUGCAUCACAUAUCAAUUAGAAUAUAUAUGAAGUAUUUAUUUUUAUGUAGCCUUUUUCCCUAUAUAUAGUCGAUCCACCAUCAUUUUCACUUGCUUAUUCAUUUCAUACGAUCUUAUUACCUUUAAAAAAAAUUGCAAUGGUACCAUACACAUGUUCUAUUUCUGUUGUUUCUAAAUAUGAAUCAAUCAUUAACGAUAGAAAAAAAUUAAUCAACAACAUGUUUGACUUCUCUUGCUUGAAACGGAAAUUUUAUAACAUCAAAUAAAAUAUUUAAUUAAAUUAAAUGAAGGAUUAAAUGAUAAUGAAAAUUCAUGAAUGAGUUUGAAUGAAAAAUAACCGUUAAAAUAAAGUUUAUAAAAAAUAUUCAAAUAAGAACAUUUACAUUGGACAAAUCCUUUUUCUUAGUAAUAUUUGUUUUUUGGUACAUUUUAAUUAGUAUUUUAAUCUCAACAAGAGUGCACCAAAGAUCUUAUGCAAAUCUUCUUUCAUUUUUAAUUUCACUGAGAUAAUAAUAUAACAUAAAAUAAAAGAUGUUAACCCUUUACCUCCGAUUAAGGAUCCAUUUUCUAAAAAAAAAAUACCCAUUUAUUACCAAAAAAAAUGGUGAAGAAAGAAUGUUUAUGAGUUGAUUAUUGUUAGUACAAUAUUACCAAGUUUACUCCCUAAAAAAACAAAAAUUUACCAAAAAUUGUAACAAUCACAUUUGGAUUGAAUCCGAGUGAGAUGCACCCAAAUAUAAAGAUUUUUUAGUUGUUUUUGUAACAGCCCGAUUUUCGUUAGAUUUACUUUAAUUAUUUUUAUUGUGUGUUUAAUUGUGCUUGUGUGUGAUCUUUCAUCAUUGGGUGCAUUUUCGUGGGUUUUUAUGUUAGAAUGGUAGUUUAGUCAUUUUGGACUUACGGGUAUUUUGGUCAUCUUGUGAGUACGGGUAAUUAGAAAUUUCGGUGAGGAUUAUUUUUAGUGUUUAGUAAGGAUCAUUAUUUUUGCUAAGUUAUUGGGGUAAUAAUUAGUAUUUUACCGUUAAGUGACCGUUAUUAGUAAUUUACCGUUGUGUGUGUAGAAACAUUUUAGAUUUAAGUUGGAGUGGGUUAAGUCCAUUAAGGGGACAUCCUAUAUAAACAUUGUCUUAGAGGAAAUUUCCUACACACUUUCAUUUACAAGAUAUUUUGAGAGAGUUAGAGAGAGAAAGUGCGAGAAAGAGGAAGAAAGGGUUAGAGAGAAGAGGAGCUUGAAGAUUCAAGAAGAGAGAACCUAGAAGCUAAAGUGAAGCUUGAGCUAGGGGAUUGAUCUAACUAAGGUAAGGGGUUUAUAAUUCAUCAUAAUCAUUUUUUGUGUAAAUUUUCAAUUGUUGUAUGAAUAAGUGCUUAAUUGAGUAAUUGAUUAAUUGUUCAUAAUUGUUAGAAUUCGUGCUCCAAUUAUGAUGAUAUGUUUGAAUGCAUGAAGUUUUUGAUAAUUGAAUUGUUGUUAGUGAAAUUUCAUGUUCAAAGUAUGAGAAAGUGGUAUAUGGUGGAAUAUGCUAAAUUUGUUGAAUUAUGCUAUGUUGUUGUUGAAUUGUGAUAACAUUCAUGUUCAAUUGAUGUUAUUGUUUCUAAGUGAUGUUGUUGAUGAUAAUUCAUGGUUUGGGUGUGCAUAAUUCAUGAAUUGUUGGUGAUAAAUGAGUUGUUGUUGGUGACUUUGUAAAAUGGGUUGAAUUAGUUCAAAUGUCAAAUGUUUUCAUGUUGUUGUGUCUUUGUGGAUCAUUUUAGCUAUAUUGACCUGAAAACAAUCUUUGGAAACACAUUUGGACUUUUGGAGAUUAAAAUUGGGGAUUUUGGGUGAAAAGGGGUUGAAACCCGUAAUAUUUUUUUGCAGAAUUAUGAUUGUUCGCUUAAGCGAACGCUAAGCGAACGGGUAAGCGAACAACCACAGUGGGUUCUGUGACUGGUUCGCUUAAGCAACCCGGAAGCGAACAACUAAGUGAACCUUAGUUGUAGCUUUUGGAACUUGUUCGAUUAAGCGAACAAGGUCGUCGUUUAAGCUAACGAGCCCAGUUUCGGCCACUUUUGAAUUUUGUUCCGGGACUUAGGGGGCCAAUUGUAACACCCCUUUACCCAAAAGCAAUUAAAUAACAAUUAUUAAUCAGAGUUAAGCACCAAACGGGCAUGCCACAUUGCAAAUUCAAAAUUUCUUAAAUAGAAAAUAAAACUAUUUAAUUCAACAUGUUUAAUAACUUCAAAUCAUGCAGCGGAAAGUUUACAUUUCAAUAACAACCACAACGGUUAAAUUCUCCAACAACCUCUUGGCAUUAAGCCUAAUCAACAAUAAGUCAACCAACAAAGGGCCACAUCAACAAGUUCCAAAAAUUGAUACAUAGGAAGGAAAACAACAAUAAUAUAAUAUAAUAAUUCCCAUCCCACGUAUCAGAGCCCUAGACACGACUCUUGAGCCACCACCAACUACUCAGGAUCACCUGCAAGUUACCCAUAGGAAGGGCAACAUUUUCAAGCAGAAGGGGUGAGAUUCACAACAAUAAAUAUAGAUAUUAAAAUCAUCAAUUGAAUCUAACACCCUAAUCAACAACACUUUAUCUUGUAAACAUAUAUAUGUAUAAGUCACAAGCAACAACAACAUCAACAAUACACCAUGAUCACAAUGAAUAUAUAUAUAAAUGCAUAUUCAACACCAACAUCAUCCAUCAGAUAAUAACUGAAAACAACAACCAAGACUCAUGCAAAUGACAUGACCACUGCUAAGACACCAUCUUAGACUUCUUAAUGAAAUGCAUUAUGCAUGUGGUACCAAUCAGGACCGAAGCCCUCACCGCUUUUGAAUGGUUAAAGCAUUCAUCAGGACCGAAGCCCUCACCGCUGUUGAGCAACUAGUACUCCAGGACCGAAGCCCUCACCGCUGUUUUAUGCAUAUGCAAUGGACCUACUUGUGUAUAUCUACAUACAACUGACCAUGCAAUGCAACUCAAUAUGACUCCACUUUAAUAAUAUGUAUGAUUCAACAAUUGGCAUACAUUUCAACCAUCAUCAGUAAUCAUUAAUCCAGUAAUUCAAUCAACCAAAAUAAUGCAUAAUUAUAUAUAACCAUGCUCAAAAACAACAACAUCAACCACUACUAUUCAAGCUAGCAAAACAACACUCAGGAACUGUGCAGCUCGCCUCGCGAGCACAUCUGCUCGCCAUGGCGAGUUCACAAAAACACUAGCUCGCCAUGGCGAGUUCAAGGCGAACUCGAGGCGAGUGAAAAUCAGGUGCUCUCGGGAAAAAUGCCAUUUUCUCACUCAAAUCCAAAUUCUAAGUUCCCUAUUCAUCUUUUUAACCUAAAACUUCCACCAUUCAUCAUUAAUAUCAUCUAGGUACCUUAAACCAUCCCCAAAACAUCUUAUAACAACUUUUCAAAAAUCAAGUUUUGUCCAGGCUUGCUCGCCAUGGCGAGUUGGUCUGCUCGCGAGGCGAGCUAUGAAGUUGCUCACUCGCCAUGGCGAGCACAGCUACUCGCGAGGCGAGCGAUGAACUUCUGUACGGGCAGAAAACAGGUUUUUCCCCAAAAUCCCAUUUUUCUUCAAUUCACUCCCCAAAUUAGUUUACAGAUGUAAAUUGACUUGCUGUGUACAUUUAGAAACUAUUUCUAACACCAGAACUACAUUCUCUACCCCAAAAUCAUCAAUUCUCACAAAACCCAUAAUUUCCCAAUUUUCACCAGAACACUGUUAAACUCAAAAUCAAAAAUUAAAAUCUAUACUACUGAAGUAAACCUCACCCUUACCUUAAUUCAACAAAGAAAAUGCACAGCAAAAGGAUUCUCUUGGUUCAAAGUUGCUCUUCUCUCCCUCUUCUCCCAAAAGUUGGUUUUUACGUGAAAACUGCUUCUGACAUCUAUUCUUUUCCUAACUUCCCAUUAAUUAACUCCCUUCUAUUUUCAUUUAACUCCCCAUUAAUUUUAAUAAAUUCUAUUAACUCCCCAAACACCAAAAUAAUUAUUAUUUCACACUUAUUCUAAUUAUUAUUAAAAUAAACUAUAUAAUAAAAUAAACACACCACAUAAAUCACCAAAAAUCAUAUAUAUAUAUAGACUCCACAUAAAUCAAAUAAUUAAAUAUGACAACUAGGGCGUUACACCAAUCCGAGCAUUGUAAAAUGAUUAUUUCAACCUGUUUAACUACUGUUUGAACCCCUAAACCUACUGGAACAUGCCUAGCUUACCUGAACUUGAAUUUUUCCUUUAUGGGUUAUAACUUGUAAAUUUUUGGGAAACUCGGAUUUUGGUUGAUUGAACUUUUAUGAAAUGAAUAAGAUUACAAGUUAAGCCUGCAGCUCAUAUAGACUUAGGUAAGGCUUAUAAUGUCAGUCAAACAUCUUAAUCAUGAUAAACGUGAAUUUCGGGUGGGAGUGUGAAAAAAUGUUAACUUGGGUUUUAUCAUACAAUCUUAAGCUAUUCUUUGAACUAAUGUUUAAUAGUUGUAAGUGGCUUAAGUUCUUGUUUACAUGGUUGAUUAAGAUUGUUUGGUAAGUUUUCAAACUUUAUAUAUUACCUUACUUGAUAGUUAUCAAUGUUGGCCGUUUGCCACUUGAUACGGUUCAUCGGAAACGAGUCUUUUCAAGUGAAAUAUCUUAUGAUCUUGGUGACUAGUUUUAUAUAACUACAUGGAGAUGUGUGAAUGAUUUGUUAUAUGGGGAUAUGAUAUUUAUCAUGUGAUGUUGAAUGAUGUUAAUGAUUGUUGAUGAUUGUGGUGAUAAUGUGAUGUUGACUCUUAAUUGAAUUAUGACUUGAAUGUUGUGUGGACGUAAUUUCUUGAUAAUGCAAAUGUUGUGGAGAUGAUCAAUAUAAUUGGAAGUUGUCCUUUAUAUUGUUGUGAAAAUUGAGGUGAUUGCAUUUUUGAGUCCUUACUGUAUGUUCAUACAUCAUAGUCAUGUUGAGUCUUGUAGUUGUAAAAGGGUUGAGCUCUUUUACUUCGGAGAUUAUGUAAGACGGGUGUGAAAUCUUACAUACGAUAUUUUUGUUGCAUCGAAGGUGACGACCUUGAGGUGAUUCGGUACCACAUGCAUUUAUGUGUCAUGAUUAGGGACAUAUCAUUGUUGCAUGAGUCCUCAUCGUGAAAUGAUUGACAUACUUGUGGUUGUGAGUGAUUGGUUGUGAUAUUUGGAUUUAUCAUUAUGUAUUAUUGUUGAGAUUAAUUAUUCAUGUCAAUUAUUUGGGACUUGAAUUGCUUUAUUCAUGUAUAACUGUUAUGUGGAUUAUGAUGAUGUAAUACUUACCCCCAAUGAUUUUGACCGCCUACCUGUCUGCAUGGAUGGGUAGACGUUGUGCAGGAUUAGUUGCUCUGGUGAGUUGAUUGUUGCUUGGUGGAUAUCGGGAGCUAUCUCCGGUAUCGGUUUAGUUGAGUCUAGGAUGACUCUGAUAUAGGCGUUUGUUAGGUUUCCUAGAUUUAUCUGUUUAGAUUUUAUUCAUGUUGGAGAUUUACCUGUUGUUGGGAUUUGGAGAUUCAUCUAUGUUGAUGUAUUAUUUGGUUCAUGACAUUUAUGCUUCGAAAUAUUCUGGUUUAUAUCCACUGCGACUGUUGAGAUUAUAUGCAUGCAUGAUGAAUUUGAAUUUUGUUAUGAUGACGUAGCAUCUAUUUCUUGAAUAAAUGUAUUAUUCGCAUGUUUUAUUGCUUUAAUAGAAAUAGAGUGUUACACUGGACAUUCCCUUGGUGCUCUCCAAGUAAGUCUAAUGGUGGGUGAUGAGUCAAUAAUUAUCUGUUUUAGUUUAAUAUUUAGUUUCGUUUUAAUUAGAUUUAAGUUUAUUUUAUUUUAAUAUUAUUUCCUUUUUGAGCUACUUUACUUCAAUUGCAUAUUAUUAUAUUUCAUGAAUGAAUAUUUGAUGGAUUGAGUCUUGGAGCAAAAGAAAGGGGUUUUGGAGCUGAUUCAGUGCAAAAAUACGAAGAUUCGGAGACAAAAAUACUCUAUUUUAGUCUUACCAAAAAGCCCUUUGUGUAACACCCUAUUUCUAUUAAAGCAAUAAAACAUGCGAAUAAUACAUUUAUUCAAGAAAUAGAUGCUACGUCAUCAUACAAAAUUCAAAUUCAACAUGCAUGCAUAAAAAGCUCAACAGUCGCAGUGGAUAUAAACCAUAAUACUUCGGGGCAUACAUGUCAUGAAUCGAAUAAUACAUCAACAUAGAUAAAUCUCCAAAUCCCAACAAUGGGUAAAUCUCCAACAUGAAUAAAUCCAAACAUAUAACCUAGACCGACAUAAACAGACGCCUAGGUCAGAGCCAACCUAGACCCUAAAAACACCGAUAACGGAGAUAGCUCCCGAUAUCCACCAAGCAACAAUCAACUCACCAGAGCAACUAAUCAUGCACCACGUCUACCCAUUAAUACAGACAGGUAGGCGGUCAAAACCAUUGGGGGUAAGUAUUACAUCAUCAUAAUCCGCAUAUCAGUUAAACAUGAAUAGAUCAAUUCGAAUAUCAUAUACUUAAUCAAAUAAUAAUAUCCAUAUAUAUAUAUACUCAUACCAUAAUCCCAAUAUCUUACAUUAAGCAAUCAUCAAUCACAUGGAUCAUGAACAACCAUCAAUCACAUUUCCCAAUAAGACUCAUGUCAUGAUGUGCACCAAGUUCGACACAUAUAUGCAUGUGGUACCAUUUCACUUCAAGGUCGUCACCUAUAUCUAGACCAUCAAGGGUCUCUGCAAGGCUGGAGCCCACAAUCUAGAUCACUAAUGGAUCUCUGCAGGGUCAAGGCCCACAAACUAGAUCUCUAAAUGAUCUCUGCAAGACCGAAGCCCAACGAUGCAACAAAAACAUCAUAUAAAUCUCAACACGACUAUGAUGCAUGGACAUGUAGCAAAGACUCGAUAAUGCGACAUCACCUCACAAUUUCCACCACAAUAUAAAGGACAAUUUCUAAAUAUAUUGAUCAUCUCCAGAACAAUUGCAUUAUUAAGAAAUCAUGUCCAUACACAAUCAAAUCAUAAUUCAAAUAAGAUUCAUUAUCACCACAUCAUCAUGAUCAUUAAUAAUCAACAAUGUUCUUCAACAUCAACUACCUUAUAUAGUUUUAUCACUUCAAGCAUUUCUCACAUUCCAAGUAAGAUAGCAUACAUAUCUCAUGAUAAGCAUCAUAUCCAACAUAUAAUCAUUCAUUCAUACAACUUCACUUAAUCAUAUAAGAAUAGUCACGAUGAAUCAUAAGCCAAUUGACUCAAAGAAACAUUUCCGACAAUACCAUAUCAAGUGGCAAACGGCCAACAAUGAAGAUUCCCAAGACAAAGCAACAUAGACAAGUUGAAAACUCUCAAACAAUCUUAAUCAAUCAUGUAGUUAUGAGCUUAAGCCACUUAUGGACUAUUGGACAUUAGUCUAAAGAAUAGCUUAAGUUCGUAUGAAAAACCCAAUUUCACAAUCGUUCACAUUCCCACCCGAAAUAUCACUUUUGACAUGAUUAAGAUGUUUCACCGAUCUCACAAGCCUUACCUAAGUCUAUAUGAGCUGUAGGUUCAACUUGCAAGCCCCAUUAGUUUGCAAAAGUUUGUUUCGACAACAAUCCGAAAUUCUCCAAAACUUCCAAGUUAUAACUCAAAACGGAAAAUUUCAAGUUUAGGUAAGCCAAGCAUGUUCCAGUAGGCUUAUGGGUUCAAACAGUAGUUAAGCAUGUUGAAAGAAUCAUUUUACAAAGCUCGGAUUGGCCCCCCUAAGACCCGGAACAAAAGAUUAAAGUGGAUGAAACUGGGCUUGCUUGCUUAAGCGACCACCUGGUUCGCUUAAGCGAACGAGUUCCAGUAGCCACCAGAAAGUACGCUUAACAGUUCGCUUGCAGGGCGCUUAAGCAACCUCUACCCAGAAAGUGCUAUGAAUGUUCGCUUACCAGUUCGCUUAAGCGAACGUUCAUAGCUCUGCAGAAAAUGUUACGGGUUUCAACCCCUUUUCACCCAAAAUCCCCAAUUUUGAUCUUCCAAAGCCCAAAAGUGUUUCCAGAGAUUGUUUGCAGGUCAAUAUGACUAAAAUGCUACACAAAGACUCAACAAACAUGAAAACAAUUGACAUUUGAACCAAUUCACCAAUUUUUACCAAACUACCAACAACAUCUCAUUUCUCAUCAACAAAUCAUGAAUCGUGCAUACCCAAGCCAUGAAUUAUCAUCAACAACAUCACUUAGCAACAACAACAUCAACUGAUCAUGAAUCUUAUCACAAUUCAACAACAACAUAGCAAAAUUCAACAAUUUGAGCAUAUUUCAACAUAUACCACUUUCUCAUACUUUAAACAUGAAAUUUCAUUAACAACAAUUCAAUUAUCAACAACUUCAUGGAUUCAAACAUAUCAUCAUACUUGGAUCACGAAUUCUAACAAUUAUCAUCAAUUAAUCAAUUAAGCAUUUAUUCAUACAACAAUUGAUAAUUUACACAAAAGAUGAUUAUGAUGAAUUCUAACCACCUUACCUUAGUUAGAUUAAUUCCCUAGCUUAGGCUUCACUUUAGCUCCUAAGUUCUUCUCUCCACUUGAAUCUUCAAGCUCUUCUUCUCUCUAACCCUUUCUUCCUCUUCCUCCCACCUUCUCUCUCUAACUCUCUCAAAAUAUCUUGAAAAAUGAAAGUGUGUAGGAAAUUUCCUCUAAGACAAUGUUUAUAAAGGGUGUGCCCUUAUUUGGCCUAACCCUAAGAGGCUUAGUGGACUUAACCCAAUCUAAUUCAAUUCUAAAAUGUUUCUACACUCUAAACGGUAAAACACUACAACGGUCACUUAACCGUAAAAUUCUAAUAACUAUUUACUACGAAAGUAACUUAGCAAAAAUAACGGUUCUCACUAACCACUAAAAGUAAUUCUCACCAAAAAUUACUAAUUUACUCUUACACCCAAAAUGACCAAAAUACCACUAACCCAUGAAAAUGCACCCAAUGAUGAUUAAUCACACACAAACACAAUUAAACACUCAAUAAAAAAUAAUUAAAAUAAAUCUAACGAAAAUCGGGCUGUUACACAUUGCUUGUGGAACAUUCUAGUGAUGUAAUUGCUUAGAUUCUAAAUAGAAUGUAAACUAUAAAUAGAGUAGCUAGCCAUCACAAAUAUUCAUCUUUUCUUGGAAUUCAAUAAGUGACAAUUGUCUUUCUAAUAAAAGUUCUUUUCUUUUCCUUACUUUCUUGUUAUUUACUUUUAUGCUUUUCUCAUUCUUCUCCAUGUCUACGAUGAACAUGAGUGAGUAGACUUCUCUUGUCUUGGGAUUGUUGGAUAAGUCUUAAUGACAUAAUCCUAAUCAAACCAAGCUAUUGACCCUAGUCUUAUGUAACCCUAAUCUCUAAUCUAAAUUCACCGUAUUAACAUGAAAAAAACAUUAUCAAACUAUGAAAACAAAAGUGGAGGGUUUGAUAAUUGUUAAUCCAUCAUCACAAAUAUAAAUUCAUAAAACGAAAGUGGAAAUUUGAUAUUCGAACAAGUGAAUUUAGACAAGGAUUGCAAAAGCAGCGAAAUAAUCUUUGCAAUCUUUGAGACACAUAGUUUCGAUCUUCAGGGGAACUAAUAGUAAUAAAGUCAGCGAAAUAGGCUUGGUUAUUAAAGGAACCAAAAUCUAAUAGUAAUCAAGUCAGCGAAAUAGGCUUGGUUGCUAAAGGAACAAAAGAGAAACUGUCUUUAGAAGUUAUGUCUAACAUAAGGUUUUAGGUUUAAUAGUUUGAUUUGAGAAGGACUUGUCAUUAAGGUGAACCAAUAAUCCCAAGGCUCUUUUUAUUAUAUUAUCUUUCAACCGUUUGAAAACCCUAACUUUGCAACUUGAUCUUCUUCUAAUCAUCAACAAAUGUUAAUUGAAUUAAACAACUUCCUGUCGGAACGAUACUCUUAUUUUACUACUUCGAUAGAACCGUGCACUUGCGGUUUUAUCUCAUCAGUGGAAACUGUGGUUAGACCAACUUUAUUCAUGGUGGUCCCAUCAAAAGCUAACUUCAACUUAUUGUUGGGGAGACAAUGGAUUCAUGGGAUAGGUGAUGUUCCCUCAUCCAUGCUUCAAAGAAUCUCGAUCUGGAGAGAUGAUGGUAUAGUCGAGAAUAUUGAGGUUGACCAAAACUAUUUUCUUGCUGAAGUAAAUCAAAUCACGAGGAAGACAUUUGACAAGAACUUAGAAAAUAUUGCACCAUGUUCAUUUGCAAAAAUUGAUGAUACUAAUCAAGCAGAUGCAAGUUCUGUGAAGCUCCAUCCAACUCAUGGCUUCAUGUGGGAAAGGGAGACGUUCGACACAGAAUCUGACAUGGAGGAUAUGGAUUCCCUAACUUUGGGGAAUGAUGAAGAUGAUCAUCACAUCUAAGCAGGAUGAUUAGAAUCAAAUCACGGUUGUGUAGCCGGAGUCCUAAAUCAAACUGUCUUUAAUGGCUAAUGUAACAGCCCGAUUUUUAGAUAGAUUUAUUUUAAUUACUUUUAUUAUGUGUUUUAUGUGCUUGUGUGUGAUUAUUCGUCAUUGGGUGCAUUUCCAUGGGUUCCCGUGUUAGAAGGGUAUUUUAGUCAUUUUGGACUUAGGAGUAUUUUGGUCAUUUUGUGAGAACGGGUAAAAUUAUAAGUUUUGGUGAGAAUUACUUUUAGUGAUUAGUGAGAACUGUUGUUUUACUAAGUUACUAGAGUAAUAAUUAAGGUUUUACCGUUUAGUGACCGUUGGAAAUAUUUUACCGUUAUUUGACCGUUAUUAGUGAAUUAUCGUGGUGUGUGUAGAAACAUUUUAGAUUUUAGUUGAAAUGAGUUAUAUCCAUUAAAUUUGAGAAUUAGGCCCAUUAAGGGAACCUACUACAAAAACCUUGUCUUAGAGGAAAUUUCCUCACACUUUCAUUUCAUAAGAUAUUUUUGAGAGAGUUAGAGAGAGAAAGUGGGAGCAAGAGGAGCAAGGGUUAGAGAGAAGAGGAACUUGAAGAAUCAAGGGGUGAAGAGAGCUAGGAGCAAAAUUGAAGCCUAAGCUAGGGAGAUUAAUCUAACUAAGGUAAGGGGGUUAGAAUUCAUCAUAAUCAUUAUUGCAAUUUUUCAAUUAUUGUAUGAAAAGUACUUAUUUGGGUGAAUUGAUUAAUUGUUCAUAAAUGAUGAAAUUCGUGCUCUAAUUAUGAUGACAUGUUUAGAUGUAUGAAGUUAUGAACAAUUGAAUUGUUGUUAGUUGAAUUACAUGUUCAAAGUAUGAGAAAUUGGUAUAUGUUGAAAAUAUGCUCAAUUAGUGAAUUAUGCUAUGUGGUUGAUGAAUUGUGAUAAGUUUCAUGAUCAAUUUAUGUUGUUGUUGUUAAGUCAUGUUGUUGAUAAUUCAUGGCUUGGGUUUGCAUGAUUCAUGAUUUGUUGUUGAGAAAUGAGAUGUUGUUGGUGUUUUGAUGGAAAUUGGAGAAUUGGUCCUAAUGUCAAGUGUUUUCAUGUUGGUUGAGUCUUUGUGAGUCUUUUUAGUCAUAUUGAACUGUAAACAUCAUCUGGAAACACAUUUGGGCGAUGAGGGAUCAAAAUUGGGGAUUUUGGGUGAAAAAGGGUUGAAACCCGUAACAUUUUCUUCUGAACUGUGAAUGUUCGCUUAGAGGUUCGCUUAAGCGACCAGUAAGCGAACAUUCAUACUUUUUUCUGGGUUCAGGUCGCUUAAGCGAUCUGCGAGUGAGCUGGUAAGCAUACUUUCUGGUAGCUUCUGGAACUCGUUCUCUUAAGCGAACUGGUGAGCGACCAAUCAGCGACUAGAAAGCGUACAUUGUGGUUGGCUACUAGAACUCGUUCGAUUAAGCGAACCAGGUGGUCGCUUAAGCGAACAAGCCCAAUUUCAGCCACUUUAAUAUUUUGUUCCGGGUCUUUGGGGGCCAAUCCAAGCUUUGUCAAAUGAUUCUUUCAACAUGUUUAACUACUGUUUAAUCCCCUAAACCCACUGGAACAUGAUUAGCUUGCAUAAACUUAAAAUUUCUCAUUUGAGUCUUAACUUGGAAGUUUUUGGGAAAUUCUAGACUUUUGUCGAAAACAAACUUUUGCAAACAAUGGAACUUAUAAGUUGAACCUACAACUCAUAUAGACUUAGGAAGACUUAUAAGAGUGGUCAAACAUCUUAAUCAUGUCAAAGGUGAUAUUUCGGGUGGGAUUGUGAAAUUGGGUUUUUGAUAUGAACUUAAGUUAUUCUUGGAUUAAUGUCUAAUGAUCCGGAGGUGGCUUAAGUUCAUGACUACAUUGUCGCUUGUCACUUGAUAAGGUUUUUGGUCGGAAGUGUUCCUUGAGCCAAUUGUCUUAUGAUUUAUCGUGACUACUCUUAUAUGACUAAGGGAAGUUGUAUGAAUGAAUGAUUGUAUUGAAUAUGAUAUUUAUCAUGAGAUGUGUAUGCUAUCUUACUAGAAUGUAAGGAAUGCUUGAAACGGUGAAACUACAUGUGAUAGUUGAUGUUGAAUGACAUUGUUGAUAAUUGAUAAUCAUGUUGAUGACAUUGAAGUGAAAUGGUACCACAUGCAUAUAUGUGUCGGACUAGGUGCACAUCAAGACAUGAGUCUUGUUUUGAAUUGUGAUUGGUGAUUGUGUAUAAAUAACUAUGAUUUGGUGAUUGUUCAUGACACAUGUGAUUGGUGAUUAAUUGAUGUGAGAAAUUGGGAUUAUGAUAUAAGUAUUUAUAUGUGAAUAUUAUUGAUCAAGUACAUGAUGUUUAUAUUGAAUUAUUCAUGUUAACUGUUAUUUGAAUUAUGAUGAUGUAAUACAUACCCCCAGUGGUUUUGACCGCCUACCUAUUUGUAUGGAUGGGUAGACGAUGUGCAGGAGUAGUUGCUCUGGUGAGUCUUUUGUCCUUGGUGGAUAUCGGGAGCUUUCUCCGAUAUCAGUGUUGUAGAGUCUAGGUGGCUCUGAUCUAGGCGUUUGUCAUAGUCUAGAUUUUUUAUUUGGAUUAUUGUUCAUGAUUGGAGAUUUACCCGUAUGUUGGAAAUUUGAGAUUCAUCUAUGUUGAUGUAAUAAUUGAUUCAUGACAUGUAUAAUUUGAGUACUCUGGUUUAUAUUUCGCUGCGACUGUUGAAGUUUUUAUACAUGGUUAUGGUUUUGAAUUUUUGUAUGAUGACGUAACAUGUAUUUCUUGAAUAAAUGUAUUAUUCGCAUGUUUAAUUGCUUUAAUAGAAAUAUGAAGGUUACAGCUAAUACUUAUCAAAAGAUGGUUAAGAAACCAUUGAUGAAGAUAUUAUUGAAACACUUAAGUUUAUGCUUAAGGAAUUUUGGUCAAUUGACCAUGAAUUUGAUAGUAUCUCCAAUAAGGAAUUGGUAUGAUUCCUUUAGUUAAAAUUAAAUGGUGAAAUUUGGCAAUAGUUGCCUUAAAGAUUCAAAGGGUUAAGUAAGAAACCAUAAGCAGUGGGUGAGACAAAGAUAGACGUAACUCUUGUCUAAAACCUUUGGGACAAACUUGUCAAUAUCAAAGUUUGAGGGCAAGAAAUUAUGUUCAUUGAAGUUUUUACUUAUGAUUUUGGUCUGUUUGCAAACGCUCACUCAGGUUGCGAAUAAUUCUUAUCUUAGACCAUUGAGUUUCUUUACCAUGUUACAAAUCAUCAAUGGAAUUUGAUUCCUUUGAUAAAUAUGUCAAAAUAAAGGCAUGUAUUGAUAAUAUGAGCCCAAUUGUGUGAAAGUAAGUAACACAAACAUUAAAUUUCAACAAAGAAACAAGCAUUCAGCUUUGAAAUUAACAAAGCGAUACAAAAAUUUAGCCGAACCAUUACAAAAUUGGGCAUUGUUAUGUCACACCACGAUGCAUAACAACGCCAAUGUGAAAAGAAAUAAAUGGCAAUUUGUUGGUGAUUGGAUCGGAAAAGCCAUCAAAGUCGAGUUGAAAUACAAGAGAUCAAAUAAAGCUACAUCUAUCAAGUGUAACACCCGGUUUUCCCAACAUAAAAAUUUCAUAAAAAUAAUCAGAGUAUUCACAUAAACGGAAUGUCACAUUCUUUUCUUAAAAUCCUAAACUGAAUAAAUAACUAUUUAUCCUUUAAAAUUCAAUAACAAAAUCUUUAAUACUUCGCAGCGGAAUUUAUUCAAUAAUUAAAACAGUCUUUGGCACAAAGGUCUCAUCAAUAAAUAUCUCAUAAAAUCCAAUCUAAAAACAUAGUCAUAAAUCUUCUUAAAACAAUACGUAAGGAAUACAAAGACAACAAUAAAAUUCUCAUCCCGUUAAGUAUCAGAGCACCUAAAGACACACAUGAGAGCUAAUCCACUCACGAAAGCAAUCUAACAGCAACUUACACUCGAUCACCUGCAAGUUACUCAUACGAAGAGCAACAUUUCCAAGCAGAAGGGGUGAGAUUUUACAAAACAAUAAUAUCAAACAUAUAAUUCAAUAAUUAUAUUUAACAACAUAAAUAACUUCAUAUAUUAGUAAUAAUAAUUCUUCAUGUAAUAAUUCUUAAUAGUUCAACCAACUUCUAAUCAUCAUUUCAUAAUAACAUAACAACACAACUUAAUCAUCACUUAAUAAUAAUAAUAAUAAUCAUAUACAACAUGACAUAAUCAUUACUUAAUGAUAAUAAUCAUAUAAACAAACAACAUAUUCAUCUUAAUCAUAAUCAUAUAAACAAACAACAUAUUCAUCAUCUUAUAUUGAUAUAACAACAACAUAAUCAACAAUGAUUAAUAAAUAUUAAUACUUCACUUAGUUCUUUAUUAACAACUCAUUGACAAAUGACAACUCAACGACAACGACAACGCAACUUCUACAACUUAUCAACUCGACAACUUGACAAUCUUGACAACUCAACAACUUGACAACUUGACUAUGCAACUUAAUCUUCUAAUCAUGCAUGUGGUACCAAUCCAGGGCAUCAAGCCCCCAACGUAUUUGAUUUGAGCGUAAAUAGGCUCCCAGGGCAUCAAGCCCUCAACUUUAUUUGAGCGUAAAAAGGCUCCCAGGGCAUCAAGCCCCCAACAAUGAAAUGCUAAUGCAUGGACUCGACCUCUUAAACAUCUUAAAUCGACAACCUCUUAUAUAAUCCAAAUACUUUGGAACUUCAUCAUCUUAAUCAACUUAGACCGACUCAUGCAGCUUAGUUAAAUAACAACAGCGACACAACAGUAUACAAAACAGCAUGACAUAAUCAUAUCAAAUGCAAGUCAACAACAUCUCAAAUAUACAUUCAUAAUUCAAGUAAUAAGUACGACAUCAUAAUCAACAUUAACAUAUCCUAAAACAGCUUCACAGAUUAUCAUUAAUAUUGUAAACAACUACCAUUCCUACCCCAAAGACCAACUCAUGAACUCAUUAGACCCUUUAUACAAGGUUAUCUCCUUCCUAAAAAAAUCUAUAGAUGGUUAGGAUAAAGUUCCUACACUUAAGAAGAAGUUUGGAAACAUUUGGAGUGAAGAAAAUUGCAUUUUUAAGGUUUCUGGUAAGACAGCAUCAGACAUACUAAAAUUACAGAUUUUUCUGUCAAAAUCGCCUCAUGAUCACUAGAAUCGCCUCAUGAUUUCGACAGCAUCAAACAUACUAAAAUUACAGAUUUUUUGUCGAAAUCGCCUCAUGAUCACUAGAAUCGCCUCAUGAUUUCGACAGCAUCAGACAUACUAAAAUUACAGAUUUUCUGUCAUGAUCACUAGAAUCGCCUCAUGAUUUCGACAACAUCAAAUUUUCACCCUUCACGUUUUUGCGCCUAAAAAUCAAACCGUUAACCCGUUUACGAUGCUGUUUUCGCCUACGCGCUCCUGACACAUAGCUCUAUCACAAUCUACAGAAAAAUUCCAGUUUCAACCACCCAAAAUACGGUUUCUAAAACCUCACAUAAUCACUCAUUUGCAAAACAUUUAGACACCGACUCUUCAAGCGAAAAUCCCAAUUUUCAUCAAUCCAAACUCAAAAAAACUGAUUAGGAAUUUAACCUAUGAUUAUUCUACAACUUGAACACCACCUAUUACUUUAAUUCAUCAGAUUAUCUACUCUUUCUACAUCAAUCUAACAAUUUUUCAUCAAUUCCUCACUUUAACCCUAAUUCUCAAAUCCUCCAAAACUAAUCCCACCCUUCUUAAAUUUAAUCAUCAUAAUUACAGACUUAAUAAGAUUGAAUGUUAGUCUCACCCUUACCUUAUAACUCAAAAUCGCCGCUUUCUAGGUCUUUCUCCCUUCUCUUGGCUUUUUCUCCCUUUUCUCCAAAAUUGAUUGUACGUUAUGUUUUUUUUUCUAACCUAGGUUUCUCCUAUUUAUAACCCUUUAUUCUAUUUUAUCUUAUUUCUCUUUCUCCUCAAAACUCUCUCAAAUCUCAUAACAACCCUUAAACUCAAUAUUAUUUUAUUUUCAAAUUUUAUUGUAUUAAAUAAUAUAAUAAGCUACCUAAUAAAUCAUAUAAUCAUAUAAUAUAUUCUAAACUCUUCUUAAUAAAUUAUAGACUCAAUUAAAAAAUUAAAUAAAACAAAUAAUUCAAAGAGGGCGUUACAUCAAGCGACAUAGAAGACAGAGGUCUGUUGUCAUGUAUUCUUCGUAAUCUCCUGUAAGAGGCCAGAAGAUAUUGGGCCUCCGUCCAUGACCUUGGCAAGUUCCCUUCGAAGAACAAGCAAACUUAUGCUCUAAACCCAGAGGCAAAGGCCUCGUCCAGUAGUACUCCCAAAAGAAAGGGAUGCCACCAAUGUUUGCUAGGGCGCGCCCGCAUUCAGCAAGACAUCUUCGUUCGAACAGGUCCUUCAAGACAGGAAGGAUUUCAUUAUGGGAAAACCCUCCUAUAGCCAGUACUUUCAGUAUGAGGUCAAAAUAACUAGCGCUAUCAGACCUUUGAGCAACUACUUCUUGGAGAAUGAGCUUUAUUUCUUCCAAGUUGGGAUUGUCUCGUUGGAGCAUUUGAGCUUUUGAUGCUACGCCAAACAUCCCAUGCCCACUGUGAGAGAUUUGGCGCAUAAGUUUGCGUUUCCCCUCACAAAUGGAAUGAUCGGCCAAGUACCAUACACAGCUAUGGGGCAAAGCUCUAAGGGUUGCUUUAUCACGAGUGAACUCGCGGUAAAAAGGAAAAGCGGUUUCAAAUCUGACAAGAUCUUCAGCUCCAAACUCUGUUAUCUUCUUGAUGAUCACCAGCAACAUAUCUUUUGGCAAAGUGUCCAUCAUCAAGAAAAAAAAAUUGCAAAAAAGGAAAAAGAGCGGAAGAACAAAGAAUGGUUGAAGAUGUAAAAGGUCGACGGAUGGAAACAACUAUCCCUUAAUAAUUAAAUAUGGACUACACUUUAAUUUAUUUUAUUAGAAGUAAAUAUUUUUAUCACAUAUACUAAUUUUGAACCAUCAAUUAAGAAAAAUAAAUUCAUUUCUUUAUAAUAUUUUUUUCAAGUGUGUUAGAUUAUUAUUGUUUUGCUAGAUUAUUAGAAAUAAAAAAAUUAUUUAGGGAGUAAAGUGUAGAUAGAAGAAUGUAAUUCAAGCUUUUUCUAGAGGAGGGGAGUAAAAUAUUUUAUAAUAUAUUUUGAAUAAGAGAGAAGUGUGUAUUUUAACAUAAGAGUGGAGAUGGGAGUAGUUCAAACAUAUUUAAAUUCAAACAUAUUUAAGGGAAGGGGAGUGUAAUUUACUCUAUAAACAAUCAUCCAAAGUUUCAUUCAAAAAUCCGAAGAUUACAUGUAAGUUGACUUAAAAAUAGAUUAAAAAAAUGGUGAUGAUUUUUUUUUUAUAAGAUUUUUAAUCCUUAAAUUUUAUGAAAACUUCCUAAAAGUUGAUAACCGGUAUCAAAUAACAAAUGAGUAAAUACAAUUAUCCCUUCGAAAUUGUAAGUUUUGUCAUUUACCUCACAUUAACAAAACUUCAAUUACUCCUCUAAAAUUGCACAACAUUAAUCAAUUUAUCCCAUCCGUCAAAUUCUUAUGUUAAUCAAUAUGGCGUUUUGCAAAUACCCUCAUAAAAUUUUGUACUUAUGUGCAAAAUAUCCUCUAAACAUAAAAAUUUAUAUAUUUUUUUUUCUUAUCCUUGACUUAAAACUAUUCAUAAAAUGCACGAAGUAUAUCACUGAUUUAAUUUGAAGUAAAUUUUUUAUCCUUACUUACAUGCUAAAAUUUAAACAUGGAUACAGCUUUACUUAUGCACUUUACAAACAAAUUAGAGAAGUUUUGUGCACAUAUAUAAGCAGAUCAGGAACAAAAUUUUGGGAUACUGAUUAUAUGGGCAUUCUGAGUAGAAAGGGGAACUGAAAAACUUAUAUGUACUUUUCAAAUCUAUGUCUUAUGCGGUAUGACUUUUUAUCUUUUUAGCAACCUCUUGUUCCUAAUUGACCGAGAAUAUCAUAAAUAUUUUCCAUGCAUUUCUUGAUUCAAGUUGUUAUUACACUUAUGUCUUAAUUCAUGUUCCUACACUUGACAAGUUUAUCGUGCAUCUGCGGGGUUUUUUUUUUCCAGCCCAAACUUGUUGAACUGAGUAAAGAACUCAAAGGAUUAAAGGUUUAUCUUUGGUUUUAAGCUAUUUUUAAAGGUUUCUUGCUACUAACUCCUUCGGUACUGGUGCAACCUUUCAAGCCCUCGUUCCUUGUUAUGUAGACAUUGUUACAUUGUUGUAAAAUCUCAUUAGUUGACGGUGUUUCUAAAGUUAAAAACCCCAUUCAAACUAUAAAUAACUUUUGAGUUAAGGAUAAGGAAAAAAAAUAAAAAAUUAUAAGUUCUUGGGACGUUUUACAUAUAAGUGCAAAACUUCAGUAGGAUAUUUGCAAAAUGUCAUGUUGAUUAACAGAAAAAUUUGACGGAUGAAGUAAAUUGAUUAACGUUGUGCAAUUUCAUGGAGUAAUUGAAGUUUUAUUAAUGUCUUACAAUUUUGAGGGUAAUUGCCUAUUUAUUCAAGGUUUAAAUAGGUCUUUCGUCCCUGCAAAUGUAGAUCAUUUGAAUUUUCAUCCUUACUAAUCCUUCCAAUAUGCAACUGCAAAUAUUAAUCAUUUGAAUAAUGAUUUUAAUUACAUCUGAUUAGUAACUUCAUGGACGAAAAUUCAAAUAACAUAUAUUUGCAGGGACGAAAGAUCUAUUUAAGUCAACUACCUCGCCCAAUCAUCACUUGUCACAUGAGCACCACAUCGCUAACGACAGCCCACCUGAGCAAAAAAAACCUAAUUAAGACCAAAAGUCAAAUGAUUAAUAUUUGUAGUGACAAAAUGGAAGGAUUAAUAACUUGGGACGAAAAUUGAAAUGACAUAUAUUUGCAGAGACGAAAGACAUAUUUAAGCCUUCAUUGACCAAUCUCAAGUGUUGAAAUAUCAAAGACAAAAAAUGAGUAAAUAAUCAAUUUCCCCCCUAAAAUUGUAAGUUUCAUCAAUUACCCCCUUGAAAUUAACAAAACUUCAAUUUCCCCCCUGAAAUUUCACAACGUUAGUCAAUUUACCCCCUCCGUCAAAUUUUUCUGUUAGUGAACAUGAUGUUUUGCAAAUACCCCCAUGAAGUUUUGCACUUAUGUGUAAAAUGCCCCCCAAACUUAAAAAUUUAUAUUAUUUUUUUCUUAAAAACAAACAAUUAAUAGUUAAAUAUUAAAACUAACUAUUAAUUUUGGAAUUUGGGAAAACUACAUGCAUAUAUACAUCAAAAUAGGCUCAAAAAUGGGGAAAAAUAUGUAUUUUUUAAAGUGACAAUAAUGGGAUGAUUUGUGGAUUAAUAUUGGGGGUUGUGUAGUUUAAAUGGUUUGAGCAAAUUGUUGAAGGAGUUGGAGGAGUUAAAAGACUAAGAUGGUGAAGGAGAAAAUAUAAAUUUAAAUCUGAUUAUUAAUUUGUUUAUAAACCUCUAAAAAUAAUAAUUUUUCUAUUAGAAAUAACCAUUAUUGUCACUUUAAAAAUACACAUUUUUCCCUAUUUUGAUGUAUAUAUGUAUGUAGUUUUUACAAACUCAAAAAUUAAUAGUUAGCUUUAAUAUUUAACUAUUAAUUGCUUGUUUUUAAGAAAAAAAUAAUAUAAAUUUUUAAGUUUGGGGCAUUUUGCAUAUAAGUGCAAAACUUCAGGGGGGGUAUUUGUAAAACGUUAUGUUCACUAACAGAAAAAUUUGACAGAGGGGGUAAAUUGACUAACGUUGUGAAAUUUCAGGGGUAAUUAAAGUUUUGUUAAUUUCAAGAGGGUAAUUGAUGAAACUUACAAUUUUAGGGGGAAAUUGACUAUUUACUCGACAAAAAAUCUUUGUUUUGUUUCUUUGUCGGUUUGUCCUUUCGUUUGCGCGAGAUAAACACAAACACAAACACACAGAACAGAAGAGAAGGUAAAACCCUAAUUCCUUUGUUUUGCAUCUGUUUCCUACAAUACAACCAUCGCUUGCGGUAAUUAUUUCUGAAUUCUUCGUGUAGUUUCUCAUUUUGUUUAAUUGUACUAGGUUUAAAUAUAAUUGGUUUUUUUAAAAAUUAUUUUAUUUUUAAAAUUUCAUUUUGGGUGUGAUAGUGUUCUUGAAAUAAAAACCCAUUUUGUAAAAUUGAUAAUUUGAUUCUAAUUUUUUAAUUUUUUUUUAUUAUCAAUAAGUUAAAGUCAAUUAAUUUUUUUUUGGUGAAUAUGGUUUCGAUGUUAUUUUUUUUUAUCUUGCAGCUUGUGAUCUUGUAAUUGAAAAUUGAAUGAUAUCAUUUGUUGUCUAUGUGAUAGUUGUAUAAGAAGCAAUCACCGACACAUAGACACCGGUAAUAACUCAAAAUUGAAGUGGUUGAAUGUUACUACAGGUGUCGUGUCAUGUGGGUGUCGGGCACCAACACGUGUCUGGUAUCACACUCUUUCCAUCAGAAGUAUCAGUGCAACUUAGGAUCCUACACGCAGUGAUACUGCAUUUUUUGACUUUAUCUAUGUAACCUUUUUGUGAACAUGCUGUUUUGAAUAAGAUGUAAAGACUUGAUUUUUAUGAUUGAUCUUUCAUUUGCAGGGUGAUGCUUAUUUGAUGCUUCAGAGUUUUACUUCAAGUUUCACUCGCCUGGUUCUGUCAUGGUAUGUUCAAUCUCUUUAGCUUAGUGCUGUCAAAUAGCAGCUUGAGCAGUGCUAUAGUGUAGCGUAAUUUGAACAAAUCGCUAUUGUUCCACAAUGCACUAUGUAGGAUAAAGAGUAAACCAUGAAAUUAUUGGUCCCUUUCUUUGUAAGCAAUUCUCAAAUUAAUCCCUUGAUUAUUAAUAUUUCAAACAGUCCCUGUCUUUGUCAAAAGUUUCUCAAUUAGGUAUCCGUCUUUUAUGUUUCUGAAUAUUUUGACAAAGACAAAGACUAGUUUGAAAUAUUAAUAGAGUCAGAGACUAAUUUGAGAAUUUCUUACAAAGACAGGGACCAACUUGGUGCUUUACUCGUAGGGUAAACUACAAAGUGUUGAUGGCUAUUUCCGCACUAUGGCGUUGUAGCGAAGAAAAAUGUGAACAAACCGCUUCUUUCCAUAAUCCGCAAUUGACAGCAUUGCUUUAACUAUAUAUUUUGUCAAUGUGAUGUUUGAUUUCAAUUUUUAGUGUUAGGAAUUUUGUCACGCUUCUCUUUAUGACUGGUAAAGAGAUCCAGUUUAAUACUAUGAAUAGUAUACUUGUCUGAGUGUGCAUAUCUUUGUAUUGCUGUGAAAAACAACUAUUGGCUGGAAAAUGUUUGCAAACAGAACGACGAUAUACCAUCAUUAACAAUACAACAACAUCACGAGAGUAAAUUUCAUCCCAUAGAUAAAUUCAUAUUUUGAAAUUGAUAGCAUUAACUUAACAUGGCAGUAUUUAAAUUGAUCCAGUGGAUAUUUGAUAUUUCCCAUCUCAAUGUAUUGUGGAACUUAGUUUGAUGUAUUACUGAAUGCAGGAUCCUAAUGGUUCUGUUGAUGAUAAGUGUGAAAAUAGACUCUGCGUUGGCAAUCUUGAUCUCAGAAUUACAGAGUGAGACUCUCUGACCCCUCAACAUGGCUUAAUUUUUAUUUAUUUUUUGCAAAUGUUAACAUUUCUUAUGAAGGCUUGUUAAAGAAUCAAAGAUGGAAAGUGUGCAUUAAAAUGUAUAGGCUUUUUAAGUUAUAAAUGUAUUUUGUACUGUUUUUAAAAUUAACACUUUCUGUUUCUCGAUUUCUUAAAGCAUGUUUGGAUUUCAAUUGAAACAGCUCAAAUACUCAAACUUAUGUUUGAGUUGAUCAGCCAAGAGAGAUUGAAACAUAGGUUUGACUGUUUGAGUUCCUCAGAACAGAAAUCCAAACAUGUGGUAACCAUUGCCAUGACAAACGGUAGCAGGAAUCAAGUUUUUAAAUCGUUGUAACAAUUGCUGUUGCAUCGUGGUCCUUGCUAUUGGGAGGUUGACAAUCAAAUGUAACUGGUUCGACCUCAAUAUGGUCACGAAUACAUCAAAAACCUAGAUUUUGUGGCACACAUGUUUGUUCUCUUUUCCGUGUACUAUAUGCAUAUUCUUAUUUUCUUUCUCUGUUUCCAUCAUUUUCCAGAGCUGCUCUGCUCAAAAUGUUUUCUCCUUAUGGAAAGAUCGUGUCCGUGGACUUAUUGUGGCACACCCGUGGCCCGAAACGCGGGGAGCCACGCGGUUUCGCUUUCAUCCAUUACAGCACAAAAGAGGUACGUUUUUUUUAUCCGUCGAUAGAAAUAAAUGAGGUAUGUUGAUAGCAUACUUUUGUUGAUUUCACAUUCAAGCAAUUUCUGAUUUCCAUUCUUAAAGUGAGAAUGCAGGAAGCAAUAUUGGCCAGGGAGAAAAUGCACGGGAGGUUAGCUUGCAGCCGGCCAUUGGUUGUUCGCCUUGCGGGUGAGAGGUAUGCCCUGGAAAAGGCAGAUAGCUCUACAAAAGCAGUAAGUGAAGGGCACAAGUUACAUCUCACUGGUGGUGGCAUAGGACAGACGAGUCGAAGUGCGAAAAUAGCUGCAAUAAAGAACAAGUUAAAGUCUUUAGAGGAGGAUAAUUCUAAGACUAAGAAACAGAAGCUGAGUGACAAUAUAUCUUGAAUCAGUAAUGUUAUUGUAAAAUCUGUAUAAUCAGGGGAAUAUUCUGUGUCUUAUAAAUUGAAUAUGAUUCAGUUGUUUGUAACACCGUUAAAUUAAAUUGCAGUUUGGAAAAUGUGAUUCAAAGUUUCUCUUAUUUGAGAUGGAAACUGGAAUCUUAAUUCUGAAUGGAAUGGACUGUUGUUUUAUGAGUGUAAAAACAAGUGAAAGGAUUUAAUUGAGCUCAAAGUUCAGUGGCAAUGAACCGAACCAACUCGAAUAUAGUUCGAAAUUUGACUCGACAAUUGGUCCAUUGAACUUGGUUCAUGAACCAAAUGAGUCGAACUUGAGCUGAUUAUUAAGUUUGUUAAUUAAAUGAGCUGAAUUUGAACUAUAGAUAUUUCGAUUCGUUUGGUUCAUGAGAUGACUUGAUAUAUAUAUAUAUAUAUAUAUAUAUAUAUAUAUAUAUAUAUAUAUAUAUAUAUAUAUAUAUAUAUAUAUCAAGUGAGAGGACAUCUUAUAAUGAGAUGAGAUGUGAGAGGGUGAGAUGGUGACCAUUGGAUGAAUUUAGAUGGUUGAGAUUAGACUGCUUCACGCGCUAUUCUAAAUAUCUAUAUAAACUUUUAUAUUUUUUACAUGAAUUAAAUAUCUAUAUAAAAAAGAUGAACUUAAUUGUUGUCGUUAUAUUUCUCCUUUUCUUUUUACCCAAUUUAACUUACUAGUAUAGUGAUCUGUGCCAAGCACGGGUAAUAAAAAACUUUUUUGAUCAAAUGUAUAGAUUUUAUAUUAUGUUAUCUUAAAGUUAUAAGUGUGGUUAUAAUUUAAAUUUGAUAUGGAAAAAAAUAUCAUCUUAAUCUUGUUAAUUUUGUAUAUAUUUUGCAAUAUCUAAACAUUGCACAUAGCGAUUAAAGUAUUUGGAUUUAUACUUAACUAAUUAUUUGUAGUAUAAGAUGUACUCAUUGUUAAGCUUAACAUAUGUAAUAUUUUUGCAAAAAUACGCCGACGUACUGUAUAUUAUUAUUUGUUGACAUAAUGUAUUUUAUUAACCAUAAAAACUAAAAAAAAUUGUAUUUUUUUAUAUAAUAGUCAGUGUCAGAUGUAUACACCUAGUCUGUGAAUGCAAACGUUAAAUUUUUUACGGGUGUGUAUAAAUAUAGUUUGGGCUACAGAAACGCCGAUUGUUAUUUGUUUUUAUUUUUUACAAAACCAAUGGUCUAAUGUAAGUAUUGUAUUUUAGGGUAACAACGAUGUAAAAAAAAAGUUCCGCGUAUUGUUAUUCAUGAAAAGUGUAUCAAUUAAAAGUCAAUAGAUGGAGGACCUGCUUAUAUAGAAAUUGCAUGUCCUGUAAUGACCAUUACACUUUACAAAGAAAUAAAAAAAUAAAAAAAAAACGACUUCCGAACAACACGCAACUUUGGUUUUCUAAAUUAUAGCAACAACAAUUCUAAAACAUAACCAAUGAUCAUACUUAUUGAAAAACUUCACGAUACACAACAUUUGUGGUCUCCUUGCAAACAUUAUUAUCUUCAUCCAAGAUGAGCAGCUUCAAACCUUUUCUAGAAGUAAAUCGAGAAACAACAACAUAGAGUUGUCCAUGCGUGAACACGGGCUUAGGAAGAUAAACUCCCACUCAAGAUAAAGAUUGACCCUGACUUUUAUUUAUUGUCAUUGCAAAACAAAGCGUUAAUGAAAAUUGCUUGCGCUUGAAUUUGAAAGGUAGUCCUGGAUCACUCGAAAUAAGAUUCAUCCUGGGAAUGAAUACCCUGGUACCAACCCUUUUUCCCGUAAUUACGGUAGCAACUAUCGUGCUCUUUCCUAGAUGUGUAACUGUCAGCCUCGUACCAUUACACAGUCCAUUGGUCUGAUCGAUGUUUCUCAUCAACAUAACUGGAAAUCCCACCCUUAUUUUCAACCUGUGAUUUGGAACGUCAGAGCUCUUAAUACCAUUAAAAAAUUAUGUACCAAGCACGGGCUAGAAUUUCGUCAUACUUGAGGGAGAAAGUUGGUAUUGUUAAAGUUCAACAUUGAAUAAAAGAGUGUAAGUUGAACAACUUAUAAGUAAAAAAAUAACUCAUAUACUUAAGGCUUAAAAUUUUGGAUGAAGUUGAUAUCAUUCUAACUUAUGUGGUUACUCUUUUUAAAAUAUGUGGAUCCACACCGGUGUUGGCUCCCUUAGAAGGCCCAACAGUGGCAUGAUAUCCCAGUUCAACAUUUUGGGGGGAACGAAGUGGUUCUUGGUGGUCGAUCACGGGCACAGAGAGUUUGACACCAUUCACACCAAUGUUGGCUCCCUUAGAAGGCCCAACAGUGGCAUGAUAUCCUAGUUCAACAUUUUGGGGGGAACAGAGUGAUGUUAAUGUGUCAAGUGUGAGUUAAAGUUUCAAAUUUUAUGUAAGAGUAUAUGUUCAGCAACAUAUAAGGACAUGUGUAACACCCCUUUUUCCCAACAUAUAAAUAAUAUAAAAUAGAUCAGAGUUCAUCACAAACAGGAUGUCACAUUUCGUUCUUCAAAAUAAUAUUUAACACAAAUAGAGUUAAAAUCCACUCUGUAUUUAAAACAUCUGCUACCAAUAAUUUUCAACAACGUCGCAGCGGAAAAUAAUUAUUCUUUCAAAAAAAUUGGAACUAAGGCCUCAACAUAAACGACGUCAUUAAAAUCCAACAAUAAAUUCAUAAGGAUUGCAAGAGGCUUUAUGUUCUAAGUUGAGGUUGAGUUCAACGUAUCAUCCGCAGACAGAUGGUCAGUCGGAAAGAACGAUUCAGUCGUUAUAGGACUUGUUGAGAGUUUGUGUACUUGAGCAAGGAGGGACUUGGGAUAGUCAUCGUCCAUUGAUAGAGUUCGCGUACAAUAACAGUUAUCAUUCUAGUAUUGGAAUGGCACCUUUUGAGGCUUUGUAUGGUCGGAGAUGCAGAACUCCGUUGUGUUGGUUUAAGUCAGGUGAGAGUGUGGUUUUAGGACCAGAAAUUGUUCAACAAACUACUGAGAAGGUUAAGAUGAUUCAAGAGAAGAUGAAAGCGUUCCAGAGUCGACAGAAGAGUUAUCAUGAUAAGCGUAGGAAAGACCUUGAGUUCCAAGAAGGAGAUCACGUGUUUUUGAGAGUCACUCAUGUGACUGGUGUUGGACGUGCAUUGAAGUCAAAGAAGUUGACUCCGAGAUUUAUUGAUCCGUAUCAGAUAUCAGAAAGAGUUGGAAUGGUGGCGUAUCGAGUGGGUUUACCACCGCAUCUUUCGAAUUUACAUGAUGUGUUUCAUGUAUCGCAACUUCGGAAGUAUGUUCCGGAUCCAUCUCAUGUGAUCCAAAGUGAUGAUGUGCAAGUUAGAGAUAACCUUACGGUUGAGACUUUACCGGUGAGGAUUGAAGAUCGAAAAGUGAAGACGUUGAAAGACAAAGAGAUACCUCUUGUGAAAGUCGUUUGGGACGGAGCGACUGGUGAAAGCUUAACGUGGGAGUUGGAGAGUAAUAUGUUGGAAUCUUAUCCAGAGUUGUUUGCAAGAGGUAAAUUUUCGAGGACGAAAAUGUUAUAAGUUGGGGAGAGUUGUAACGCCCACUUUGAUUAUUUAAUUAUUUUUGUUGAGUUUAGAAUAUAUUUAUAUGAUUUGUGUGAUUUAAGUGAUUUAAUGAAGUGUUGUGACUUAUUUUAUUGUUUAAUAAAAUAAGAUUUGAAAAUAAAAUAAAUAUUGAGUUGAGGGGUUGUUUUGUGAAUUUAGAGAGUUUUGUGGGAAAAAAGAGGAAUAAGAUAGAAUAGAUAGAGGAAAUAUAAAUAGGUGAGAACUAGAAAAGUUUUAUAGUACGAUCAGUUUUGGAAAAAAAGGAGAAAAGUCAAGAGAAGAGAAGAGGACCAAGAGAGGUUGCGAUUUCGAUUUUCUAAGGUAAGGGUGAGAUUAGCAUUCAAUCUUAUUAAGUUUGUAAUUCUGAUGAUUAAAUUUAACAAGUGUAGGAUUAGUUUUAGAGAAUUUGAGAAUUAGAGUUAAGAGUGAGAAUUGAUGAUUAGAUGGUGAAAACUUGUAGAAUUGAUGUAGAAAGUGUUACAUACCUUAGAUAAUCCAUAGGAUGAUUACAGGAACCAGUUUUAAGGUUUAAACCAUGUGAUUAGGUGAAUUUUCGUGAAAAACUGCAUUCUGCCCGAGCCAACAUUCAUCGAUCGCCUCCCGAGUGAUGAUCCUCGCCCUCGCGAAGGAUGAUCUUCAUCGCUCGCCUCGCGACCACUUUUCCUUCGCCUCGCAAGUUGCAUGUUGCAGCUCGCCAUAGCGAGCAGAUCACUCGCCAUAGCGAGUUUGACCAGUGAGGAAAACCUAAUUUGUGAUUUAACUUAUUAAGUCGAGCUUUAGAUGAUUUUAAGUGCCUGAAUAUGUAUAAUAAUGAUUAGGCAAGUUAUGAGAUUGAGAUUGAACCUGGAAAAGUUUAUAAAUGGAUUUUUGGGUGAAAAAUGUCAAAUUCCCGAGAGCACCUAGUUUCUUGUUCGCCAAGGCGAGUAGCUUACUCGCCAAGGCGAAUUCCAAUUUCCUGAACUCGCCAUAGCGAGUAGAGGCUCUCGCCUCGCGAGCUCCUGUAAGACAGAAUACCUUGUUUAGGUUGUUGCGAUCUUUGUCGCACGAGAUGUUAUGAGUUGAUCAUGGGGUAAGAAACUAAGUUGCUUAUCUUACUGUUGUUGUUUCAGUAAGCCUGAUUUAGAUGAUUUGAUGUUGUUAAUAAUGUGAUAUAUUUGUAUAUCCAUUACAUGAAUUAUAUAUGAUGUUUGAGAUGUUGUUGAUUUGCAUUUGAUAUUGUUAUAUCAUGAAUUGUUUUAUGUACUGCCUAUGUUGCUGUUUGUUAUUAACUAAGCUGCAUGAGUCGGUCUAAGAUGAAAGAUGUUGUUCCAAAUUAUUGGAUUUAUAUAAGAAUUCGAUGUUUCUAAGAUGUAAGUUGUUGAGUCCAUGCAUACUCAUUCAUUGUUGGGGGCUUGAUGCCAUGGAGCCUUUGCUCAAUUAAGAUGAGGGCUUGAUGCCCUGGAAGUAUAUUAAUACUUAAAUACGUUGAGGGCUUGAUGCUCUGGAUUGGUACCACAUGCAUGAAUAAGAGGUAUAAGUUGCAUAGUCAAGUUGAAGUUGCAUUGUCGAGUCAAGUUGUUAAGUCGUCAAGUUGUUAAGCUGUGUUCUAUACUUGAGCUGAUAAUGAGGUUUUAUAUGAUUAUAUUAUUUUCUAUGAUGAAAUUAUGAUGUUGUUAUGUUGUUAAAUAUAAUUGAUGAAUUAUAUACUUAAUAUUGUUAUUUGUGAAAUCUCACCCCUUCUGCUUGGAAAUGUUGCUCUUCGUAUGAGUAACUUGCAGGUGAUCGAGAAUAGGUUGAUGUAGUUGCUGUCGUGAGUGGUUUCCUUCUCACGUGUGUCUUUAGGUGCUCUGAUACGUAACGGGAUAGGACUUUGUUGCAUGCUUUCUAUUCCUUACGUAUUUGCUUAUGAUAUUUUUAUGACUAUGUUUUAGAUUGGAUUUUUAUGAGAUGAUAUGAUGAGGCCUUCGUGCCAAAGACUAUUUAUGUUGUUGAAUUAAUUCCGCUGCGAAGUAUUAAAUAUGUUGUUGGAUUUUUGAAGAAUAAAUUGUUAUUUAUUUUUGUUUAAGAUUUUAAGAAGUGUAGCAUUCCGUUUAUGUGGAAAACUCUGAUAAUUGUUAUGAAAUUUUUAUGUUGGGAAAACGGGGUGUUACAAUUGGUAUCAGAUUCUGAAAAGAAAGAAGCUGAAGAUGAAAAUAAAUAAGUCCAAAUCCCGACAAAUGGGUAAAUCUCCAAAACAUAAAUAAGUCCAAAAUAAAGAAUCUAGAGUAAUCAUAAGACAAACACCUAGAUCAGAGCCUAUCCUAGACUCUAAGGACCCGAUACCGGAGAUAGCUCCCGAUAUCCAAGCAAGCACCAAGCAACUCACCAAAGCAAUUAAUCCUGCACGUCGUCUACCCAUCCAUACAGACAGGUAGGCGGUCAAAACCACUGGGUAAGCUUUACAUCAAUCAUAAUCCUUAUAAACAGUUUGACAUAAAUGAAUCAAAUCAAGUAUCAAUUAAUUAAUCAUAAGCAAUUAAUUUACAUAUACACAUACAUGCAACAAUUCCAAAUAUCACAGGUAUAUAUUCAUCAACCACACUUAUCAUCAACAACCAUCAAUCAUAUGCAACAAAUAAGACUCAUGCCAAUAUGAUAUGCACCUAAUCCCGACACAUAUAUGCAUGUGGUACCAAAUCACCUCAAGGUCGUCACCCAUGAUGCAACAAAAACAUCAUAUGUAAGAUUUCACACCGGUCUUACGUUAUCACCGAAGUAAAAGAGCACCCCUCCUUUAUAACAUCAAGACUCAACAUGACUAUGAUGCAUGGACAUACAAGCAAAGACUCGACAAUGCAAAUUCACCUCAUAAUAUUCACAACAAUAUAAAGGAUAACCUCCAAUUAUAUUGAUCACCUCAACCACAAUUGCAUUAUCAAGUAUUUACGUCCACACAACAAUCAAGUCAUAAUUCAAUUAAGAGUCAUCAUCACAUUGUCAUCAUAAUCAUCAACAAUUAUCAACAUCAUUCAAUAUCAACUACAUAAUAUAGUUUCAUCACUCCAAGUACUUCUCAUAUUUCAAGUAAGAGAAAAUACAACACCCCAUGAUAAAUAUCAUAUCCAACAAUUAACAAUUCAUUCCCACAUCUUCAUUUAGUCAUACAAAGCUAGUCACGAAGGAUUUAUAAGGUAAUUGGCUUCAAGAAAUGGCUUCCGACAAAAUCCGUAUCAAGUUGCAAAACGACCAACAUUGAUACUUUUCAAAACAAGGUAACUUAUUCAAGUUUGAAAACUAACAACUCAAUCUUAAUCAAUCUUGUAGUCAUGAGCUUAAGCCACUUACGAACUAUUAAACAUUAGUCCAAAGAAUAGCUUAAGUUCGUAUGAGAAACCCAAGUUCACAUUUUCCACAUUCCCACCCGAAAACCAAGUUAUUUGACAUAAUUAAGACAUUAAGUCAACUUUACAAGCCUUGCCUAAGUUCACAUGAACUGUAGACCAAACUUGUAAUUCCUAUUAGUUCACAAAAGUUCGUUCUCGACAAAAUCCGGAAUUUCAAAAAGUUCAAGUUUCAACCAAAAUAGAAAAUCCCAAAUUCGAAUGAGUAAAUCAUGUUCCAGUAGGUUUAGGAGUUCAAACAGAGAUUAAACAAGUUGAAAGAAGUAUUUUACAAAGCUCGGAUUGACCCCCUAAAGCCCGGAACGAAAAAUCAAAGGUUGCUGAAACUGGGCAUGUUCGCUUAAGCGACCACCUUGUUCGCUUAAGCGAACAAGUUCCAGUAGCUUAGAGAAAAGUUCGCUUACUGUUCGCUUACCGGUUCGCUUAAGCGACCAAGUUUCAGAACCUUAUGUUAUUGUUCGCUUAGCGUUCGCUUAAGUAAACAGUCAUCAGUUCUGCAGAAAAAUUACGGGUUUCACCCUUUUUUCACUUAAAAAUCCCCAUUUUGAUCUCCCAAGGUUCAAUUAUAUUUCCAAAGUUUGUUUACAGGUCAAGACACUUAAAAUGGCUCUCAAAAACACAUCAAACAUUACAACAAAUGCCAUUUAACACAAUUCACCAAAUCAACCCAUUUCAACAACAAGAACUCAUUUCUCAUCAUCAAUUCAUGAUUUAUGAACACCCAAGCUAUGAAUCAUCAACAAAAAUAUUUCUUAACAACAACAACAACAAUUAAGCAUGAUUCUCAUCACAAUUCAACAUUUAGAGCACAAUUCACAAUAUAUCAUUUUCACAUACUACGAACAUGCAAUUUUACCAACAACAAUUCAAUUAUCACCAAUUUCAUGUACUCAAACAUAUCAUCAUAACAAGAGCACGAAUUUUAACAACUAGAGAAAAUAAUCACUUACUCAAUUAAGCACUUAAGCAUGCAAUUAAUGAAAAAUUACAACUAAUUGAUUAUGAUUGAAAUCUAACCCCCUUACCUCAAUUAGCAAAUAAUCAUAGCCAACGCUUCAAUUUAGCUCCUAGAAUCUCUAUCACCUCUUGAGUCUUCAAGCUUUUCUCCCUUCUAACCUUUUUCUCUUCUCUUGAACUUUCUCUCUCUACCUCUCUCAAAAUUCUUGUAAAAUGAAAUGAAGACCUAUUUUCUCUAAAGUCUAGAACUUAUAUAGGCUCUACUCAAUUGGACUUAACCCUAAUGCCUUAGUGGGCUUAAUCCACUCACUCACAAUUCUAAAAUGUUUCUGCACACUUAACGGUAAAAUACUAACAACGGUCACUUACCGGCUCACAACUAUUUACCACACUAGUAACUUAGUAAAAUAAUGGUUCUCGCUAGAUACUAAAAAUAAUCCUCACCAAAAAUUACUAAUUUAUCCUUACUCACAAAAUGACCAAAAUACCCAUGAGUCCAAAAUGACUAAAUUACCCUUAUAACACGAAAACCCAUUAAAAUGCACCCAACGAUAAAUAAUCACACACAAGCACAUAAAAACACAUAUUAAAACAAUUAAAAUAAUUCUAGCAAAAAUCGGGCUGUUACACCUUGUGUAGAGAGUUUGAUUGCUUCUAGUUACUCAGUGCCUUAGGUUUAAUACCUCUUGGUUCUGAUUCCCAAGCAGCAGCAACUGUUUUCUUCCUCUGAAACUUAAACUUUAAGAUACCAGCUUCUGGCUUUAACAGACUCUGAGGAACAGGUUUUGAUCUCUUCAGAAUCUUAAUCGUUGAAGUCUUAGAAUCAGAAUUUAUCAUUGCCUUUGGCUUAGAGUUCUUUGACUUUGAAGUAAUCUUAACCUCAAAGCUAGUAGCUUCAGGUUCUGACUGAACAACAGUUUCACUCUUAGAACCUUCAGGUACAAAGAGGGUUUUCAACCCUUCCUUGAUGCAUUCACAACAGGCUUUGAGACUGAUUUCAUUUGGUUUCCCUUCUGAAAAUCCAAUCCCUUUACCAUUGUUUCUAUAAAUGCUAUAAAUCAUAGAAGCAACUUUGCUUCUGUCAAUACCAGACAUAAUAUACUCCUCAAGAGCAAUUUCUUCUUUACUUAAAGAUUUCCCAUUACACUUUUCUUGUAGCUUCUGAGAAAGAUGCUUGAGUUUUUCUUCAUAAGUUCUACAAAUGAAGUCAAAACAACAUAUCUUUAUUUUAAAUCUUUCAACUCAUUAGUUCUGUAUUCAAAGUGUGUAAGAAGUUCUUUAAGAGACUCAAUAAGUUCUUCUCUAGGAAUUUUAGAGUAUACCUUAUUUUCAUCUUCAGAAUUUGAAUUAGGAUCUGCUGUUGAAGUCACAGUAGCCACUAACCACACAUCUACUUUUGCUUCAUCUUCAACUUCUUCCUUUUCAGAAUCUGAUCCACUGUCAAAAUAUUCUCAGGUUGCCAUUAAACUCUUCUUGAUCUGCUUUCUGAAUUUCCUUGUGUUGAAGUUUGAAUUCUUUGACUUGUCCUUUGAUUUCUCGUUCUGAAGAUCAGGGCAAUCAGCAAUGAAAUGACCAGGCUUCUUAAAAUUGAAGCAUCCCUUCUGAUCUUCUUUCUUGGAGUUCUUGUAGCCACCUCUCUUACUCAGAAACUUCCUGUUCUUCUUUGCCAGAUACUGAAGCUUGUUGGAAAGCAUAGCCAUCUUCUCAGUAGGAUCUUCAUCAGAAUCUCCAUCAAGUGAUUCUUCUUCAGAUUCAACAACUUUAAGAGCUUUUGAUGACUUCCCUUUAUAUGGUAGAGCAAUGGAUUUACUCUUCCAAGAAGGUUCAUGUUCAUUAAGACUUAUCUCAUGAACUCUGAGAGAGUUGAGUAGAUCUUCAAAACUUAAAGUGUUUAAAUCUUUAGCUUCCUCAAUAGCAGUCACCUUUGGUCUCCAUCUUGCAGGUAAGCUUCUCAGUAUCUUGCUCACAAGAUCAGAGGCUGCAUAGCUUUUCUUCAGUAUUUGAAGUCCAGAAACUAGAGUCUGAAAUCUUGAGUACAUUUUCUCAAUACUUUCAUCAUCUUUCAUUUUGAACAACUCAUACUGAUGAAAAAGCAUAAGAGCUUUUGCUUCUCUUACUUUCUUACUACCUUCAUAGUUUGCACAGAGAGAAGCAAACAUUGACUAAGUAGUUGAUUUGUCACUCAUCUUCAUAUACUCUGCUUUAGGUAUAACUUUGACAAGUGCUCAUCUGAUUGUGUGAUGCUUGUUGUAGAAUUUCUUCUGAGCAGAAGUAUGUUUUCUUCAAUCAACAACAGCUCCUUCUUCAUCAACGACCAAGUCACCAAUACCAUCUUCUAGUAUGUCCCAUAGUUCUUCAUCUAAGCCCAUGACAUGACUAUAGAAGUUGGUCUUCCACCAGGAAAAUUCUUCAGGAUAUCCAUUGAACUUUGGAACUUUUCCAUAGUCAGAUUUCUUGUUGUUACCAUAAUUAUAUGGAAUAGCAGUGCUAGUACUGGAUUCAGGUUCCAUACCAGACAUGUUUUUCUCAUAUCUUUUUAUGUUACACUGUUAAGUGUUUUGACAACAGACCAAGGCUCUAGAUGUCAAUUGAAGGUGAGAAAAACACAAGAAGGGGGGUUGAAUUGUGUUAGCUUUUUCUUCGUUUUCUCCUAAGCUGAAAACACUAAUCAUAAGCAAAUAAAGUUCUGUUUCUGAAGUGAUUCCCAGAACUAAGUAGCAGCGAAUAAAACAGAGACAUAGAGAAAGAAGAAAGACAAAAAACAAUUAUACAGGUUCCUUCCACAAACCAGAAGUAGUCCUAUCCCCUUUGCACUUACAAGGAGAGUUCACUAAAAUGUAAUAUCUGAUUACAAUUGCUCACUGCUAGAACUAGCAAGAGACUUCCUAUGCUCCUGAACACAAUCAAGAGACUUCUAAUGCUCAAGCACAACUGCAAGGGACUUCUAAUUCAAACAGAAUUACAAAAAAAAAAUGUUUGAGGUUGAACACUUGAUAUAAAAUCAGUGGUGUUCAAAAUACAAAUCAGAUACAAACUCUUAAGACUCUAGAAUUUCUAAGAUAUGAAAGUUGUUAAGAAAUUCUAAGUGAACUUUUGAAUGCAGAACAAUUUCAGCAGAGUUUUGGCACUAGUAGAUUGUUGUUGAGUCCUCUUAUAAUCUCUAAGUCUUCACUCCUUUAUAUAGAGGUGUGAAAGAGACGUUUUGAAUUGCCAGCACGUCAAAAUAGAGUCGUUUGAAGCUUUGAUCAAUCACCAAUGAUCUUUUGUCUGAUAUGGUUAUUGUCCUAUGAAGGAUCAAUUUCAAAUCCAUUCCAAUCGAUAGGGAACAUCGUUGCAGGCAGGGAUGUUUUUCUUGUCUUGUAGCAGAGACAAAAAUAGAGUAGUGGAGGUAGUGGUUGUACACUUCGUACAAUUGUACUUUGCCAACACUGUAACGCCCUAGUUGUUAUUUUAUUUAUUUUUGAUUUAUUUAGAGUCUUUUAUGUGAUUUUAAAUAAUAUUUGUGAUUUAUGUGGUGUGCAUUAUGUUAUUAUAUAGUUUAUUUUAAUAAUAAUUAGAAUAAGUGGGAAAUUAAUAUUAUUUUGGAGUUUGGGGAGUUAAAUUAGGAUUUAAUAGAAUUAAGGGGGGUUUAAUGAAUUAAAGGGAAGUUAAAUUUUGGGGAGUUAAGAAUAGAGAAGUCAGAGAAACGUUUUUACGUACAACCAAGCUUUUGGGAGAAAAGGGAGAGAAGAGCAAGUAGAGCCAAGAGAAUCCAAUCACGGUGCAUUUUUUCCUUCUGAAUUAAGGUAAGGGUGAAGUUUACUUCAAUAGUGUAGAUACUUAAUUCUGAUGUUGAUUUUAACAGGUUUUUGUUAUAAUUGGGAAUUUUAGGUUUAUGGUGAAUUAUUGGGUUUUGAGUGUAGGAAUUGUUGUUCUGAUGUUAGAAAUAGGUUCUGAGUGCAUACAACAAGUUAUUUCACAUCUGUAAACCAUUUUGGGGAGUGAAAGUGAGAAAAUUGAAUUUUUGGGGAAAAACCUGCAUUCUGCCCGCACUGAUGUUCAUCGCUCGCUCCGGCGAGUAGACUUUCCCGCCUCGCGAGUGAGCAACUUCAUGGCUCGCCUCGCGAGCAGAACCACUCGCCAUGGCGAGUAUGUACAUGAGAGAUCAUGAUUUUUGAAGUGUUGUUAUAAGCUGUAAAAUGGAUAGUUUUAGGUGCCUAGAUGAUUUUAGAGAGGUCUAGACAAUUUUCAGAUUAAAAAGAUGAAUAGGGAACUUAAAAAUGAAGAUUUAGUGAGAAGAAUGUCAAAACUCCCGAGAGCACCUGUUUUGAGUUCGCCUUGAGUUCGCCGUGGCGAGCAGCCCGUUUUCUUGUGCUCGCCAUAGCGAGUAGAUGUACUCGCGAGGCGAGUUGCCCAGUUCUGAGCUGUUUGUUAAUUAAAUGAAUGUUGUUGAAUGAUAUUGAUGUCUAAGCAUGAUUAUUAUAAAUUGUGCAUUUUUCAGGAAUGAUUGGAUUGUUUAUAAUGAUAUUUUGUUGAAUGAGAUGUAUGAUUUUAUUUAAUUGAGUCAUACUUGUGUUGAAUUAUGGAGUUGUAAGUCAUAUAUACAUAUAUGCAUUGUCAAGUUGUAUGUAGAUAUACACGAGUGGAGUCAGUUGCAUAAGCAUAAAAGCGGGAGGGCUCUGGCCCUGGAACGCCUCGUCGUUCAAAGCGGUGAACACUUUGUUGUUAAAAGCGGUGAUGACUUAUGUCCUGAAUGAAUGCUUUAACCAUUCGAUAGCGGUGAGGACCUAUGUCCUGAACGAAUGCUUUAACCAUUCAAUUAGCGGUGAGGGCUCCGGCCCUGAAUAUGGUACCACAUGCAUGAGCAUUGUAGAGGAGUCUUAGUGGAGUUGUUGAGUGUUGCAUGAGUCGAUGUCGUUGGUUAUAAUUUCAUUUAUUGUUGAUGUUGAUAAUGGUGAUAUAUCUAUGUAUUGAUGAAUUAUUAUUAUGUUAGGGUGUUAGAUUCAAUUGAUGAAUUUAUUAUCUAUAUUUAUUGUUGUGAAUCUCACCCCUUCUGCUUGAAAAUGUUGCCCUUCCUAUGGGUAACUUGCAGGUGACCCUGAGUAGUAGGUGGUGGCUCAAUGUCUAGGGCUCUGAUACGUACGGGAUGGAAUUUCUUAUUUGUUUUUCAUUCCUUAUGUAUCACAUUUUUGGAUUAAGCUAAUGUAGCCCUUUAUUUGGUUGUUGAAAUAAUUGAUGAGGCUUUUAUGCCAAGAAUACUUUAUGGAGAAUUAAACCAUUGUUGUUGUUGCUUUUGAUGCAAAUAUUCCGGUGCAUAUCUAUUGAAGUUUAUGGAAG